Molecule: long non-coding RNA, 63847 nt
Filed under: Triticum aestivum (bread wheat)
Lineage: Eukaryota; Viridiplantae; Streptophyta; Magnoliopsida; Poales; Poaceae
Description: long non-coding RNA (TAES_LNC005707)
Source: RNAcentral
CGUAUAAACUACCCAGGAAGCUGGAUAUAUCUUGGAGAGAAACUAGCAGAUAUCAUAAUGUGAAGUCAAUACUUGCGCCAUUUGGUGGAUUAUGUGUGCUGACUGCCUUAACUUCUUUUAGAGAUACUUCAUGCUGACUAAUAGGUGUAUAGGUUUGUUCUUAGAUCUAACUAAGCCUCCUUUUGAUAUUUCGGAACACAAGCAUGUCCAAGUUUUGGGGUAGAAAAUUUUGACAGCAUAUACUGUAUGUAGAAGAUAGUCACAUGCCAGAGUUAGCUGAUACAGUACAUCAUACACAGUUGUGUAUCUUCCUCGAUGACAGAAUCUCACUGACUGUAAGGUUCAGUGCAAGUAUAAUGUUGCCUAUAUGUAUAGAAGAAUCCGUUGAGACCCACAAAGAGAAACAGCCAUUUUGUGCUAUGUGUGAUAUUUGCAUAAUAAUGUAAUACUUUGCCUCGACUUCUCACAUAGGCUCCAACGCACGUCGCACGGGUCGAUUCCUCGGGGCUUGGAGCAAGAACCUUUUGUAAAAGCUUCAGCUUCACAUGGCUUCAAGGCCAUUCUUCAUUUUGACCCGGCAAUGAGACACUUCCUACUAUCACCGGAAGAGAGACAUUCGGACACUUUGAGGGAGAUGCUAGCACAAGAUUUUACCGUACAAAUGCAAGAAGGCGGAAGAACUUCAUCCAUGGAUUGAGGCGUCAUAAUGGUUGGUGACAUCGCACAACGGUGAUGGUGAGAUCAAGGAAGAAGCAGCGUCCUUGUAUUAAUAACCUUCAUCUAGGGAGAUUUUCCACAUCCACAGAGAUCAAGAAAGAAGCAGCGUCCUUGUAUUAAUAACCUUCACCUAGGGAGAUUUUCCCCCAUCCACACAAAUGCAAGAAGGCGGAAGUACUUCAUCCAUGGACUGUCGAUUGUGGCAUGAAAAUGGUCGAUGACAUUGCACAAGGAAAAGGGAACCAUGAAAGGAAUCAUGGGGAGGGUUAUCUCUCACUGGACUAAUUUCAAUUGGAAGGUUCUAAACAUCAUGGGUAUCCUUGAUGGCAUUGACAACCUUUUAACGAAUUCUUGCGGCAUAAGCAAUUACCCUCUCAUAAGGCAUUGGGUUAGAUGGCUUCAUUGUGGAGUUCCUUAAAUCUUGUAAGGACAUCAUCAAAGUUGUAAUGAUGCACAUCAUUAACCAUUUCUCAGACCUCCAUGUGGUUCAUUUCUAGUGGUUUACUACCUGAGCGGCCUCAGAAUCUUCCACCUAGCAAAGUCUACUUCAUGCUCUAUGGCCUCAACAUAGCACAACAAUUCUUGGAUAAAACAUCUUGACGUAAUCACCUAUCGUCGAUUUCCACUGAAGAAACUGCGACAUAGUUGUACAACAUGAGUUUUUUUUACAGAGAUUAGGACUAGGGUUAACGGGAUUCAUGAUGGUAAAAGAAGAAUUAUUGAUUCUUGGGCGAAGGGAUGACCAGCGCGGGAGGAGGCAGGCAUACUAAAAUGGAUACAUGCAUGGGAUGGUGAUGCCAUGUAUUCCCUCCGUUCCUAAAUAUUUGUCCUUUUAGAGAUUUCAAAUGGUCACCACAUACGGAUGUAUAUAGACAUAUUUUAUAGUAUAAAUUCACUCAUUUUGAUCCGUAUGUAGUCACCAUUUGAAACCUCUAAAAAAACAAAUAUUUAGGAAUGGAGGGAGUACAAUGCAAUGUGGUUAGAGACGUGCUUACAGAAAUAUAUCUUUUUCACUUAAGCAUUGGUAUAAUUGUAGAGGGCAGAGGCAUAUGCCUAGCUAGGGACCUCUGCUAUAAAAAUAAGUAGCGGUGCCUAAACAAAAACUGAUUUAUAUUCUGCAAGCAUGCAUCCAAAGUUCCAAACACCUUGUAUUGUACAUGAUCCGACAUCAAUGAGAGCGAGGGGAUGUGACCAUUGAUCAGUAGUCGCCGCUAGCUGGUGUACAUACUUGGAUGUAAAAUUUAUUUAUAAUAUUUUUUGUAUUACCUUAACAGUUGAUAAAUAAAAAGUAAUAUCAGUGAAGCGGGCAAGAGAGGGGAGAUCGGAGCCCAUUGGACCUUGAUUCAUCAACGAUUCAAAAAUUCAGGAACUGAAAAGCGGCCGCCGGCCUAGCAUUUCAGUUCCACUAUCUAAAGUGUCUCAAAAAAAAAAGGUCCACUGUCUAAAAAAACUGCUGUUGAAUCAGGCGGCGCUUGCGAGCCCACGUGGCACUGCUUCCUCAAUCCUCACAGCAGAAAGUCUCCGGCUGCGCCGUCGGCCUCGUAGCAAAACCACCAGCCGUUGUUUGUCCCCACAUCCUGCUCCGCUUCAUCCCCAUGGCUGCGACGGCGGCGGCGGCGGCGGCUGCUGCUGCGGCUCACCUGCUCACCUCCCCACCUGUCGCGUCUCCGCGGCCCGUACCUCGCCGUCACCGCCGCACCGGGGCCGCCAGGCGCCUCUCCUGCCGCGCGUCGCUGGGCCCCGACGCCCCCCUACCCGCGCUCGCCGUCCCCAGGCCGUCGCCCGCUCGGGGGAGGACGUACCUGCGGGAGCACUCCUGCCUCCUCUUCCCACCCCCGCGCGGCGCCCGCCCGCUCGCCGUCGUCAAGUUCCUCGGCGGCGCCUUCAUCGGCGCCGCCCCCGAGGCCACCUACGGGUAGGCGGAGGUCCAUCCGACCUCGCGGUAAUCCGCGAUUUCUUCGGCGGGAGGGGAGAGCUUCGCAGUACUGAUUCGCGCUUGGGCGCCGUGGUUUGUUGCAGCUACCUGCUGGAGCUCCUGGCGCAGGAGGGGUUCCUCGUGGUGUGCGUCCCGUACAACGUCACCUUCGACCACGCGGCCGCCGCGCGGGAGGUCUUCGAGAGGUUCCACGGCUGCUACGACGCGCUCCGAGCGUCGGGCCUGCCGGAGGCCGGGCUAGGCGCUCUGGACAUCGCGCGCCUCCCGCUCUACUCCGUUGGUCACAGGUGCCCGUCCGCCCGCCCGCCCGCCCGCCCGCCACCUGUUCGAUGCUUUACCACAGAAGAUGUUUGAAGCCUUGUUUUACUGACGGUAUUCUUCAACGAAUUGCAGUAACGGCGCGCUGCUUCAGCUGCUGGUUGGGAGCUACUUCUCAGAAAAGAUACCAAAGGUUCGCUUGGUAUUUAGUUUUUUUUUUGGAACACCGAGCCUCCUCGUCGAUUUCCAUUAAAGAAGCUGCCACAUAGUUCUACGACAUGAGUAGGAAGAGCGAAAGAAACACAAACAACUCAGCAUCUACACCUACAUCCACAGGCUAUCACAAAAGCAUACUGUUCUGUGGCAACGAAACAUUCAACAGCCACACAGAAAUCAUAUCCAAGCACCACACAUCAAGAUCAAACUGCCGUUAUUCGUUUCAUCACCGGCGCCCAGCCAUGACACCUGCAGUAAACUUCAGCCAUCACCAUCUUCAAAUGAUGCACUCCUUCAAUUCUUCUUCGGCCUUGGGAUUUCUGCAGUAAAGCCCAUGAAGAUAGGUGAUUACCUAAUUGGAAUAUAACACCAGCAGGGUCAUCAGGAAAAUUCUGUCGAAUGCACACAUCUUGUGUUGCAGGGAAGGAUGAAAGCCAUGUAGCAAACAAAUCCACAGUGCUAUCAAACGGUCUAUUAAGACCAAAAGCACAUAGGACAAUCUGCAAUAUCAGUUUGGCUAGCACAAACUGGAAGAGCAGAUGACCUACAGUCUCCUUUGCACUGCAGAAAUAACAUUGUUCAUUCCCAUUCCAGCCCCAUUUCAACAUGUUGUCCUUGGUUAAGAUAAUAUUUUUCAGAGGGAUUUUUUAUUUUCAGAGGGAUCUUCAGCUUCCAGACAAAGCUGAAUCCAAUCAGACUCCCAUAUCUCAGAUGCAAAUAAGUUGCUCUGACAGAGAAAUCUGCUUUAUCACCCACUUUCCAUUUCACUCUGUUUUGCUCGUUAGCAAAAAAAGACCUUUGACACCAUAUCCUGCAAGUCCACUGCCUUAGCAGUAUCAUCAAGCAAAGUUCUCCAUAAUUGGAUGGUAUCGAAACGACCCUCCAGAACUGUUUGUACUGUUACAUUUUUGCUGAAGGUUAUGUGGUAAAGCGUCGGGAAUUGCACUGCCAAUGGUGAAUUAUUUACCCAGCUAUCUUCCGAGAAUAAAGUUUUACCACCACCACCAAUUAUCCUUUCUGACAACUUCUGGAAAAUAUUGUUGACACCCAUCAGACUCUCCCAGAAAUAGGAGCCUCCACUCCCAGGUUCCAUCGAGAGGGAACAUGUUUCUGUAGAUAUUUGCUUUUGUGGUCCACCGCUCAUGACCACUUGGCAGCGAACCCGAUACCUGUUUCUGCAGAUAUUUGCUCUUCAGCAUAGUCUGCCAAAUCCCAUCAGUGUUUUCCAACUUCCGCAACCAUUUGCAAAGCAGGCUUUGAUUCAUAGUCUUCAGGUGCAGAACGCAAAGACUUCCAGAAUCUUUUGGCAAAUAGACUGCCAGCUCACCAGAUGACAUUUUCCUGUCAUCAGACUCCUGCCACAACAUCCUAGCUCUGUGAUAAUCCCAUCUCUUCAGAACUCCUUUAGGUGCCUCUAGAAAGGAGAGCAUAUAUAGAGGGAUACUGCUCAAACAAGUACUUGUCAGUAUUGCUUGGUAUUUGGUUAAUACUGGCAGCAAAACCACAAAAUUCUGUUUUCUUUAAUGGAGAUUGCAGAGGAAAGUUUGAGUUUCUAAUUUUGUUUGUAUAAUUCCUUGGUAACAGUGCUUAUUGUUUAAUUUUCUUUUGUUGGGCUCUGAUCAUUUUAGGCUAAUGCGAUUGUCUCAUUCAACAAUAGGCCCGCUUCAGAGGCUGUUCCUUACUUUGAGCAGGUAUUUUGGUCCAUGCUUUCUCGCACAUUGCAUUGUAGUGACCUUCUGUUUAACUAUUUUCAGCCCAAGCACUUGAUUUACUGGCAACUGGUGUAGUGAUGUGUGACAAUGUAGUAUAUGUUACUAUGUUUGCGUUGGCAUAGGUUUAUGAACAGAAAAACAAUUGGCACUUAGUUUUGUCGAAAUGGCUAGCUGAUUCUCUGUUUCCUACAUUGGGACCUAUGCUGCUUAGUUUUUUUUGCUAUAGGUAACUGUGUAUCUGCAUCCUGCACAACAAUAUCACAUCUUUGUACCACUAAGUAGUUUAUGCUUAUGUCUAUAAGCUGAUCCACUGAUUGAAUUAUUGAAGCCAAGGAACAUUGAGUCUAUGCGCAAAACAAUAUUUCCUGCAGAAACACUUAAAGAUAAAGUGGUGCCUUUUUAAAUAUCUUGUUUUAUUAGUCUUUCGAAGAUACCUGUAUUCUUGUAAGUUCAUAAUUCCCAGAUUCCAGACACAUGCAAGAAUUUGUCCAGCAUCACCGUUUGAGAUUCUGAACUUUAGAGUCAUCAAGCGGUCGUUGUGGUUCAGAUCAGGGAUCUGCAGAUUGCAGACUGACUUGAUAUUGAACCAUGUUUAGAAACAAUUCAACAUGGUUAUAGGCCAAUAACUCCCCUACCCACGCAAUAAAACACACCAGGUUUCUGGCCCUGAACUAUGCACAUGUGUACAAUACCUGCAGUUCCGUCCAAACCCACACAAUCCCCCCACUUUAUUUACUUUUCGUCAUGUAAAAACGCACAUGUUCCUGAUGUUGCACUGAUCUAUUAGUUAUUACUAGCUUGUGUUUGGUUCUCCCCAGUUUUAUGGUUAGGGGAUGAGCUGAUUUCCAUGCUGUAUGUAUGUUGAACUACAGCUACCAGCUCCAUAUUUUGAAGUACAGAGCGCCAAAACUUCAGGAUCAGUAAACAAUUUAUGGUUUAGAUGUUGGACUAACAAAUUCAGCCAUAAAAUAAUUAACAUUUUUUCAGUUGUAAACUUGUAAUCAAUUAAACCAUCAGGGCAGUGCAAAAGUUCGAACCCACCGACCCCCCAAAAAAAUUGUGACUUACAAGAAUUAAACUAUUAGCAAAGAGUUUGAGAAACAUGUAACAAUGCUAUUUGAUUCUUCAUUUCCAACGUAGAACUUUGUGUAAACAACUGGUAUAGGUACUGACACGUUGCAUUCUUAGUUUGUUACCUUGUGCUCUCUCCAUUUUUUGUUUGUUUGUUAUUUUAUCCUUGAUAAAUUUUUGUUUUAUGCAGAUAGGCCCCCUCAUUAGUCAACUAACACCUAUGAUGGAGACAUCACCUGUAUACUCUGCGGCAAGAGAUGCAUCAGGUGAUUAUUCACUGCAUUUAUCAGUUAUUAUUUAACUUCCAUGAAAUAUUUGUGGCUUGCUGGUUGCCACUAACCUUCCAUGUUAAUUGUUAGUUUGUAGCUUUCGAGGUUCCUGUGCUUCAUGUUAUUGUAUCAUUGUUGCGAUACCACAUGGUCUUCUGUUACUUCCGACGCUAGCAUAUGCGUACGUGCAACACACGUUGAUAUUAGGGAGGAAAUUAAUUGCACGUUGAUAUUAGGUAGGAUAUAAUGAUAUAACACAUUAAUUAUGUGAUUAGCACAAACGUUGAUAUUUGGUAUGAUAUUAAUUGCACGCUAAACAUGUUGAGCGCUCACCAUUGGAGCAAUCUAGAUUGUUGGAUUGUCAUGGUUUGAUGGCCGAGAUUAAUUGGAUCUGCCCCUUUGGGUCUUUUUAUAUUGGUAUAAAUAUAAAUGUUACAAAUGCCUAGUGUCAAAACGUUAGUAUGAUGCAAGAGUUAGAAUAGAAAUAUGUACAUUGACAAAAGAGUGGUCAUGAGACUGUUUUCAUAGUAACGGUGUGGUGUAACUUUGUAGGGAAUGCGUGGAAGGCCCUAUUUGAUUUAGCUGGAGGUUUGAUACGGGAGUACGAUCGAGAAGCUAUGGUAUCCGUAAGCAAAUUUGUCGAUCAGUUACCAUCAGUAAUGAAUCAGGUAUUAUAUUUAUAUGAAUCUAACUUAUAUUUCAUUAGUGAAAUGUGCUCUGACAACAUGUUUGUCCAUAUAUAUCUUUUUAAUCCUGAACAUACAUUCUUCCCAUGUUAUUUACAGGUUACAGAAGGUGUAUCUGAAUUCAAACCAACACCACCUGAGAACCGUGAAUUCUGCAAGAAUUCUUACAGUGUAGCUAAUACAUUAUUGGUACUGUUGAGAAACUUGCACUUAAGCAAACCUCUUUCCGUUCUAAUUUACCAAUCGCUAAUGGUCCGUGUACGUAUUGUAGGUCAAAUUCAGCGUUGAUGCUAUUGAUGAUACAGACAUAAUUGAGGACAUCUUGAGACCUCGGGUAGACUCAAUUGGUGGACAAAUAAAGAAGGUCGUACUGUCAGGAACACAUCUAACUCCGUGUAUACAGGUACAGCUAGUUAUUUUUUUCACCUUCAAAUUGUAUGGUGCAUCAAAUGCAGUUAUAUAGAAAUAGAACUCUGUAAAAUUCGUGUAGAACUUGUUUGAUUACUGUGAUUCACCACCAAUAGUAUCUACCUGGUGCUAUCACUAGAAAACAAAAGGAUAUUUUUAGUUUAGUCGGGUUGGAAUUCUCAGAGUCACUGGAUCAUAUCUUAGACCAGUGCUCUGUUAAUAUGUAAUACCAUUUAUGUAUAAAACAUUAAUAUUAAUGUCUGCCAGUGCCAGGCACUAACUAUAGCUAUACUACAGGAUGUUAAAUGGCAGGUUGGUUCAGAAUACACUCCAGCGGAUGCUCUGGCGCAGGGCUUAAAAUCAUUGGCUCUCAAUGAGACCAGGGUCCUCUCAAGAACUAUCGCUGACUACUUCAGAUCCCUUUAGAAGCCUAGAUUAUAAUUUAUUCUAUGUCCAUUGAAGUUCAGAAUGCUGCUUAUGAAGGUAUGUGACACUACUGAAUCUUUGUGUAACUUCUGUGGUGUAAAAACCUAGGACCAUGGCUUGCAUUAAUCAUACAUUUAUUUACCACAUUGGAGAUGCUUUUACACACAUCAGAGCCAGAAGGGCAGAAAUAUCUAUCUGUAGAAUCUAUAGUGCUAUACAGUCUUCAUUCAGUUUCAUCACAAACAUUUUGCUGGUUGCCGCUUUCCUGAUGCAGUUGGCUGGGGUGUGGGGGGGUUGCCAUUACAAGGACACACCGGAGUAAAUAUUAUAGCACCUAGGACUCGAAGAGCGAUGUAUGUGGACCGAGUUGAGUACGUUGGCACCGGCAGGCCGUACAUCUACUAUAUGAUCUGAUCAAGAUUUGGAGGUUGGGACCAAGUUGUUGGACUCUAGUCAGGCUAUGCACUGCAUUUAACCCGAAAUCCAAGAGAACAACGAUCCAUUCUCAGGUAUGGCACCAGCGACGCUGAGUUGGCCGUAUACACCUUGCAGCAGGCAGGCAGGCAAGCCUGUCCAUGCCUUCUUCUGGUUGUCAUUUUACGUGUAAUACGACAAUAUAUACUUAUACAUCAUGUGUAGAUUGCCAUGUUAUAUGUACUGUAGAGUAACAUAUGGGACAGUAUUGUGCACAUGUUGUAGAAUGUUACAAGUGCAGCAGUUGUGAGUUGGUCAUGAAUUUCACCGGUUGGGUAAAAGCCCGGUAAGAACUACCGUGCCUAGUUCUAGAGUAAAUUAGCCAGUUCAGAGCAACUCCAAUGGGGCGACCCAUUUCGUCCGCCGCUGUCCGUUUGGGUCGGCGUGGACAUAAAACGCAGUCCAACGUGCUGACCCAAACGGACGUGUGUCUGCUUUUCGUUCGCGGGCGACCCAUUACCGGCUCAUUUUUGAGCCGGAUUUGCGUCGGCGCGGACACGCGACGGACGCGCGCAUGCUCGCCUUCUCCUCUCUCCGGGCCCGCUGGUCGGUGGCACAUUGGCCUCCCCCCUCACCCCCCAGCGAACAGCAACCCUCGCCCGUCUUUUUCGUCGCCGACGCCCUUGCCCAUUUUUACUGGCGACUCUGCCAGCCGCCGCCGCCUCCACAUUGCCCAGCAACGCCGCCCACUCCCCCAUCGUUUGCCACCGCUGUCUUGCCACCGGGGAGCAGACUGCUUCCCCACCCCCCGCUCCCUCACCGCACAGUCAUCCGUGACCAAGAAGCCGCCUUGCUGCCCCGGCUAGAUCCUCACCGGCACGCUCAUCUGCAACCAAAUCUCAUGCUGGAUCGCGAUGGUGCGGCUCUAGCAAGCCACUGUCAGAGCCAGACCAAGGCCUGGACCCUGGACGUACGCGUCAGUGCAUGCAGCCGCGUCGAGUUAAUUGCAAAGUACCACAACUGAGGCAUCACAUACAGAUUGGUACCACGAUUACUAAUUUUUACGUGUCAGUGCCAACAUUGAUUCAAGUUUUUGCAAAAAAGGCUAAACGCUGAUUUAUAUGUAUUGACGCUGUAUCCGACAGCUCGGGCCCACCCGUCAGGUGCCAAGCUGGCCAAUCGACGCGUGCCCGCGCGCUGACUAGGACGAGCCGCUCUCCAACCCGGUCCGGUCGCACCGGUUCGCCCCCACCGCACCAUUCCCCUCCCCUCCUCCUCCUCCUCCUCCUCGACUCGAACCCUAGUCCAUGGCGUUGGCGACUCCGGCAGGCGGCGGCGAGGGUGUCGGCGGCGGCGGUGACCUACCGUUUUGGCCGCCUAGCGGCCCGGCUGGCGUCGACGGCGACGGAGGCGACGACUCCAGCUCCGCUUACUCAAGCGAUGACGGGGAGGAGUCACUGUUACUCUCCAUGGAGCAGCGGCUGCGGUUGGCGCAGUUGUGGGUGGCGAACCCUAGCAGCAGCCAUGAGUUGACGCAUGGACUCAGCGGCGUGUUGUACGUAUCCUUCUCCCCCUCCUCCUCUGAUUUAUCCAAUUGUGGAUUUUUAGGAUUAGUUCAUCUCCAGUUGGGGAUUAGGGUUUGUUCAUCUUCUGUGAGCACCGUAGGACAAUUACAGUAGCCUAGUAACCUAGUGUAGAAAGUAGUUCAAUUACAGUAUCAAAUUGGGAUUAGAGUUUGACUAAUUGAAGUAUUUUGUCCUUAUCUUUUUCAUUGAAUAUGCUAUUGUGCUCAAAUGGUCGAAGCUACAUUGAUUCAUGUUCUGUCUUAUAGGAAAGUUAAUUCAAAUUUUUUCCUGUAGUGUACUGUUGCUCUCCAAAUUUAGAGUUAUGAUAAUGAAUAAAUGAAAACGAAUUUGUUCUGUAGUUUGGAUGAAGACAUUUGGCAAGUAAGGAUCCAUUUUGAUGCAAGAGAACCAUUGGAGAUGAAGCUUUGUAGUUCAGAUAUUACUUAUCUGAAUUUGGUUGCAGUGAUGAAAACCUAAGGAUUUAAUGCAUAUGAUUGUUUGUUUCACAUUGAAAAUCCAUCUUUAGGAGAGAAAGGGCUGGAUUUGGUAGACGGUCAUGCAGAAUUACAGAUGAUAAAGAGGAAGCUGCAGGACAAAUUGGAGAUUAAUUUGCUAGUUAGGGCUUGUGCACCCCCUGAUAAAGAUUUUGAGUUGCAGCAAUGUGAAAGGCCAGAUUUGUCCACUGUUGUGUACCAAGAUCCUGUUGUUUAUUAUCUGAGUGAGCCUCCUGUCUUAGAUGUUGAUCAGCACAGAGUAGUUUUUGAGAGUCAAUGUAGCAGCUCUAGCACACCCCAUCCUCCUGGUGUUUGCACACAAGAAAGCAAGAAUGCAAAUGCUAAGUUGAAAGCUGUUUUAGAAGAAGAAGAAGAUGGAUAUCAAGGAUAUGAGGUAUAUGAGGACAGUGAUGCUUCUGCCUCUGAUGAGGAUGGUCAAAUUGGAAGUGAGCCUAAUUAUAUGUGUGAUGAUGAAGAUGUAGAGGUGGAAGAGGGGAAGAGACAGAGAGAGUUAGAAGUAGAAGAGGAAGAAUCAGAUGAUGAGCUAUUAGAGGAGGAACCAGUUCUACAUUAUGAGGGUGACAUUGAAGUUGAGGACCCAUUUGAGGUAGAGAAAGAUGGGACUUUUGAAGAAGAAGAAGAAGCAAAUAUAGUUGUACCUGUAAAGAAGCAGAAGCCGCCAGUUAGAAGAGGACCAACUACUAGGUCACAUUGCAGUAAGCUACCAGAGGUUGAGCCUGAUUUCAGACCAUCAUCAGAUGAAGAAGAGAAGGGGUUGUUGAGGGAGAGUGAGGAUGAUGGUUUUCAGCCACUAUCAUUUGUCCUACCAAAGAAAAGGAAGAGUAGGGCAAAGAAAAGGCCUGCUAGGAAGUGGUACAAUGAGAAAAUGGAGCAACCACAUGAACAACUAUGUCUAAAGUUGUGUUUUAGGGAUCAACAUCAAUUCAGAGAUGCUUUGUUGAAUUUGCAUAUCACUCAGGUCAGUAAUUUCAAGUAUCACAGGAAUUCAGAUCAGAGGAUAAUUGUUGAGUGUAGAGAUAAACAAUGCCAGUUCUUUAUGGUGGCAGCAGUUAUAAAAGGGGAGAAAACCUUUAUAAUUAAGAAGAUGAGACUAGAGCACACUUGCCCUAAUACUACUGAGACCACAAGGGUUAGUGCUAAGUGGCUAGCACAGAAAUAUGAGCAUCUCUUCAGAUCUGAUAUAACUACCGGUAUGUAGACUAUAAUUGAUGCAUGCAUGGAAAAAUAUGGUGUAGAUGUGCCCAAGUGCAUGGCAUAUAGGGCAAAGAACAUAGCUAUUGAUGCUGUGUUGGGAGAUCACAAGAAGUAAUAUCCUAAGCUUAAAGACUAUGCUCAGACUGUCAUGGACACAAACCCUCGGAGCAGAGUAAUAGUCACUACUGUUACUCCAGUACCAACUGCAAGAAUACCCCACCCAGGCCCAAGAUUCCAUGUCAUGUUCUUUUGCAUGAAUGGAGCAAGGGAGGGGUUUCUCAAUGGGUGUAGACCAUUCAUUGAUUAGUUCCUGAACCUUGUGCACCUUUACAUAUUGUAGAGUACUACAUAUUGUUUCUCACUUGAAUGUAUUUAAUGUUUCGAAAUGUUGAUUAUGCAGGUGUUGAUGGAUGCUUCAUUAAGCUCACUACAGGUGCUCAACUCCUUGCUGCCACUGGUAGAGAUGGCAACAACAACAUAUAUCCACUGACAUUUGGCAUAGUUGGACAGGAGGACACACCUAGUUGGUGUUGGUUUCUACACCAACUGAAAAUUUGCCUAGGGGGAGAAGUGGGCAAGUUUGGACCUUAUACUAUAAUGUCAGAUAGACAAAAGGUAUGUGUUUUGCACAAGUGUUUACAAUAGCUUAGAGUUUCAUUCUGUUUUGCACAAGUGUUUACAGUAGAUUAGAAUGCAUAUUUCAUUCAUUGUUGCAUAUUUUUUUAGCUUUACCUGAUGUAGAACACAUCAAUAAAAGGACCUUUCCGAUGUCCGAAUAUAGUCGUCCAAUAUAUCGAUCUUUACGUCUCGACCAUUUCGAGACUCCUCGUCAUGUCCCCGAUCUCAUCCGGGACUCCGAACUCCUUCGGUACAUCAAAACAUAUAAACUCAUAAUGAAACUGUCAUCGAAACCUUAAGCGUGCGGACCCUACGGGUUCGAGAACAAUGUAGACAUGACCAAGACAUGUCUCCGGUCAAUAACCAAUAGCGGAACCUGGAUGCUCAUAUUGGCUCCCACAUAUUCUACGAAGAUCUUUAUCGGUCAGACCGCAUAACAACCUACGUUGUUCCUUUUGUCAUCGGUAUGUUACUUGCCCGAGAUUCGAUCGUCGGUAUCUCAAUACCUAGUUCAAUCUCGUUACCGGCAAGUCUCUUUACUCGUUCUGCAAUACAUCAUCUCGCAACUAACUCAUUAGUUGCAAUGCUUGCAAGGCUUAUGUGAUGUGCAUUACCGAGAGGGCCCAAAGAUACCUCUCCGACAAUCGGAGUGACAAAUCUUAAUAUCGAAAUACGCCAACCCAACAUGUACCUUUGGAGACACCUGUAGAGCUCCUUUAUAAUCACCCAGUUACAUUGUGACGUUUGGUAGCACACAAAGUGUUCCUCCGGCAAACGGGAGUUGCAUAACCUCAUAGUCAUAGGAACAUGUAUAAGUCAUGAAGAAAGCAAUAGCAACAUACUAAACGAUCGGGUGCUAAGCUAAUGGAAUGGGUCAUGUCAAUCACAUCAUUCUCCUAAUGAUGUGAUCCCGUUAAUCAAAUGACAACACAUGUCUAUGGUUAGGAAACAUAACCAUCUUUGAUUAACGAGCUAGUCAAGUAGAGGCAUACUGGUGACACUUUGUUUGUCUAUGUAUUCACACAUGUAUUAUGUUUUCGGUUAAUACAAUUCUAGCAUAAAUAAUAAACAUUUAUCAUGAAAUGAGGAAAUAAAUAAUAACUUUAUUAUUGCCUCUAGGGCAUAUUUCCUUCAGGGGGAGGAGGAGCGCUCGCCGGUGCGCUACCGCGAGAACCCAAUGGCGUACGAGCCUCCAGUGAUGUGCCACUGCUCAACUCCGAGGAAGGCGCCAAGAUGGAUCUCUUGAAGCAGGUUGAACCCUGGUAGAAGGUACUACAGUUGCGUGGAUGCUCUGGUGAGUGUGAUUUUCUGCCUAAUUUUCCUCCUUUUUUUCUGUGCAAUAGUAUGUGAAAUGAUAUAUAUUUGGACCUUAUGUUUGUGCAUCUUAAUAGCACGGUGGCUGUGGAUUUGUGCAAUGGCAUGAUGAUCCAUUGCCCAAAUUUUGGAGUGAGCUCAUUGGGGAUUUGCGUGAUGAAGUCUGGAGGCUUAAAGGUGCAACUGUUACUCGAUCUGAAGAUCAAUUUCCAAUGGUAACUCCCAAUGAAGAUGAUGGCACAAGGGAGGCCAUGGUUCUGUCUCUGCAAGCUCGAGAGAAUAAUGCAGAGAUUGCUGGGAUUACGGCCAAAUUUCACAAUGUGCUAUUUCUUUUCACUAUAUUUGUGCUUGGCUUAGUUGCAGGCAAGAUCUGAAGUUAGUUAGUUAGUUGGUUUAUAGAAACUAAAUGCAAUGUACGGUCCUCAAGUUGAAGCCAAGUUGCUCUUGUUUAGUUAGUUAGUUGGUCUAGUUAGUCGGUUUAGUUGGUUUAGUUGCUCUAGUUUAAGACAAGUUGUCUUUUGUACUGUUGCUUUAGUUGCUCUAAAUGCAAUGUACUGUUGGUUUAGUUGCUCUUGCUUAAUAUGUAAUGGAUCAGUGAGGUUAUCUUCUGAUGCAAUGAGAUUGAGUCAGUCUUGAUCUCUUUUAUUUUGUAUGACAUGAGUGGUUUGCUGCAACAUUGUCAUAAUGUAUGAUUAUCAACAUAUCCAUCUACAUAAUCAGCACUACAAAAUAAGAAACUGAUCCAUGUCUACCAAUCAUACCACACAUUAAAUUCUGGAGUUCAACUCAUUAUAGCCAUACAUAAUCAUUUGUUCACAAUACAUAGAGGAGUUCAACUUCAAAUGCAUAGUUCAUCCUUUUCUCACAAAAGGAUGAAUAUCGUAACUACUACAUACAUACAUAGCCAUAGUUUACAAUUAGUACAAGCAUACAGUACACAACCUUAGUUCCUAGAUGCUAGGUCAUUACACAACCAUCAUUCCCAAAAGGUCAGCAAUGCCACUGAUCUCAUUUUCAUCUUCUUCACUUCUCCAAAAUGGGCUGAAUCCCCUUGAACUUCUCCUCCAGCUUUUCAUUUCCCAUCAUAAGCUCACCAUUCUGAAACUCUAACUGCCACUUCUCUUGAAUAUGCUUUUCCUUUCCCUUAAGCAGAUCAGCAACCUGAAGCUUCAACUCUAGUUUCUCUUGGGUGAGCUUCUCCUGACACUUUGUUAGCUCUGAAUUCUUCAGCUCCAAAUUCAUCCUAGCUAGCUUCAGUAAGCACUUGCUUCUCUUUCAUUUUGUUCAACUUCAAGUUCUGAAUGACUGUUGCUUGAGCUCUUGUCAAGUUGACCAGCAGCUCAUACUUCUGACUAAGUUUCUGGGUCUCUGCAUCUUUCUUUGCCAUCUCAGUUGCCAUCUGUGCCUUCAUAUCAUCAAUCAGUUCUUUUUUUUACCUCCUGCUGAUAUGUAAUGGCAGACUGCAGAUGUCUGAAAUCCACCACCCUAUCCUCCUGGAAGUUCAUAAGCUGAUGCACAUCUUAGACUAGCUUGUCAUAGUUGGCCUCCAACUUGUUCUUCUCUUCUGUCAGAUGGUGGAUAGUGAAAGAACUUUCAAGAUUGUCAUUCACCCUAUCACUCUUGGCAUCUUCAACCAUUGCCCAUAGCUUUAACAAUGCAUUUUGCAUUGUUGGGGGCCACUGGUGAUCAACCCAUUCAACAAAGCCACAAUUGCUACCUUCCUGCAAAAACAACAACAACACCAACAGAGUUCAUACAACAAGUAAUUACCCAAGAUCACUAAAAUUGCCAACAAGAAUAUCUAAAUUUAACAAGAGGAGCAGCCACUUGAGUAGCUGACUGACUAGGUUAGAUACUCUAGUGUUCAUAUCAAGGUGUGUUCAACCAUUUUUAAACAUAUGGUCAGUUAAAAAAAUUUCACAGCAAGCAGAGUACUCCAGCAAGCAAAAUAUGCUCAUGCUUGACCUAAAUAAGCUACUCUAGUACCACUAUGAACCAAAAUUACCAUGCCAUUGUACUCCAACAAACAAAAUAUACUCAUGCUUGACCUACAUAAGCUACUCUAGUACCACGAUGAACCAAAAUUACUAUGCCAUUGUACUCCAGCAAAAUAUACUAAUGCUUGACCUAAAUAAGCUACUGUACUACCACUAUGAACCAAAAUGUUCACAACAAGCAGAUUACUCUAGCAAGCAGAGUUCAAUAUGGCACUAACAAACUAAGAAAAAAAUCAGUAUGCCUACAAUCCAUACCGGGUGUGCACAUGCUAAAAACCUCCUGCCUGUGUCAGUUCCUUCAAAGGCAACAAGCCUCUCAGAUGGUUUGCCGUGCUUCUCACAUGGGGACAUCACAUCCAGCUCAAGCCCCUUGUAAUCUGGAUCUUUAAGGCUGAAAGGGACCUGCAGAAGCUCGCACAAAGACAAUGGCCAAAUCAAAACCUACUUAAAUCAACCAAAUCAAGUAAUCCCAAAUCUGAAACCCUAACCCUAAACUCACUGUCCUGACCUGGUUGAGCCCGUCGGUGGAGGAGGAAGACUGCAUGUACGGGUGGCUAGACUGGUCGUCGUUGCUUUCGUCCUCCAAAACCAUGGCGUCGGCGGGGCGGUGCGGCGGCCGACAGUCGGGACGCGGGCGGCGGCGACGGAGGGAAUGAGUCGAGGAGGAGGAGGAGGAGGGGAGGGGAAUGGUGCGGUGGGGGCGAACCGGUGCGACCGGACCGGAUUGAAGAGCGGCUCGUCCUAGUCAGCGCGCUGGCACGCGCCGAUUGACCAGCGUGGCACCUGACGGGUGGGCCCGAGCUGUCGGAUACAUCGUCAAUACGUAUAAAUCAGCGUUUUAGCCUUUUUUGCAAAAACUUGAAUCAAUGUUGGUACUGACACGUAAAAAAUAGCAAUCGUGGUAUCAAUCUGCAUUCGAUGUCUCAAUUAUGAUACUUCUGUGCAAUUAACUCAGCCGCGUCCGUCCCUUGCGUUCAGACAGGUUGGCUCGUAGAGAUAUCCAUGCUCGAUCUGUCACUGACGAGAGAGAGAUGGGCGAGGCGCCCAUGCUGCAUGCCCAUAGCUACCCGCUACCCGGCACGCAGAAACCGUCACGCCCGCCCGCAGAACCAACGGCGGCUAGUGCUCUCGGGAUGCGCGCCGCGGCAAGUGGAAGCAAAAUGGCCGACGGACGUGCAUGGUGGCUAGCUGCGUUGCCCGGGGCAUGGGGCCGGCCGGUAGUUUCCUGUUGAUUCCUACGGCCUGCUUCGCCUUGGCGGCUGGACAACUACUGGCAGGAGUACCUCCCUGCUCGAUGGAAAUGGAAUCCAUGUGUUUGUGCCUUGUGACUUUGAUGCCAUGCUCGACAUUCAGUUGCGUCCUCAACUUCGAUCACGUAACCGAGGUGCUGUCUACGUGCAUGUGUUCCACUCGUUUUUCAUGGGGGGUGUCCGCCGUCUGCGUGUUUCAAUCGUGCUACCAGGUACUACCUCGACGGAUGAAGAUCAAUGCUCGAUCGACACGGCGACAAUAGCUGACCCAACUUCGUGCUUCUUGCCAACCAACAAGUUCGUGAUGGAAAAUGUAAGACGUCGACUACAUUGCCUCUAUGUAUGCAUGCAUGUGCGCGCGUUUGCAUAGGACAUACUGUAGGAGAUGUAGGACACAAACGACGAGCUUUGCUACAUCUACGUAAAUUUUUUUACGUAACCUACGUAAAAGAUGAGCUGGCCUGAUUUGGUUGAAUGGGAAAUAGGCCCAGGUUCACCCCGUGAAAAUCAAGGGGGCGAUUAGUUUAGCGUUAAAGAAAGAAUGUAGCUCUACGUAGCUGGUUUCGUAAGUCUAGCAUUUUUGCACAAACGACAUACCCCGGCGCCGAUGGAUCGCUUCGCCUACAGGCUACAGUGUGCAUGAACAAUGCCGUGCGCGAUCGUUGUCUACUUGGCCACACAUUAACUUCACGUGCAUCGUGCAUGCUACUACAACAUAGUUUGGGGUUAAUACACUUUGAUAUUUAUUUUAGAGUAAAGUGCAUUGUAGUAGGUCCCUGACUAGAGCCGACGGCGGUUUGCGGUCUCGGGAUCCGCGCCGCCCGCAAGUGGAACCGAGUGAUCGUCGGACGUGCAUGGUGGCGGCGUUGCCCGGUGCAUGGGCCCGGUAGUUUCCUGUUAAUUCCUACGGCGUGGUUCGCUUUGGUGGCCGGAGAAUUGAUACCUUCGUACGCAAUCGAAUCCAUGUGCUUUUUUGCCUCGCUGUUAGCGGGAACGGGUGAAAAUCGAUGAAACUAGUCUUUUUCUGAAACUUCAACAUAAAAAUGAUCCUAGUCUAAAAAUAUUUCACAAACUGUCUCCUUUUUGCAUGACGUCCGGGGAUAGGGCGCCAUGGUAGUGUAGCAUAACGUCACGGGCUAGGGCGUCAUACAAAAAGGUCAAUUUCGAAAAUAUUUUUAGAUUGAGGCCAUUUUGUGUUGAAGUUUCGAAAAAGGGCUAGUUUCGUCGUGUUGCGCCCGCAACGGAGUACUAGAAAUCCGACCCGAGAUUUGUAAGUAUGGCAAAUCCAACAUCUUUUAGGAAAUUUAUGUCGGCAUAAGGUUGGAAAUUUUAGUUUGCAAGCAUGGCAAUUUUAUGGGAAAAAAUAAACUAAGAUGGAUUUGCCAUGCUUGCUAAGUAAACUUGCCAUCCUCGGCAAAUGUAAUUUGCCAUGAUAAAAAGUCUGAUGUCAAAUUUGUAGUCGGGGUCAGGUCCUUUUUAUUUCAUUGCAUGUGGAUUAUAUUUUUGUUUUGCUUCUUAUUCCAUUGUGUAUUUGAUAGUGGAACCGAUCUAUUUUCGGAUCGCAUGAAUGAAAAAGAAAAAGGAAACAUCUUUUCUGCAUCGUGAUUUUGUGCCAUGGUCGACGGACAUUCAGUUGUGUCGCGUCGUCGACUUUCAGAUGACACAUGAUUUGUUUGGAUUCGAUCACAUAACCGAUGCGCUGUCUACGUGUGUUUCGCAUGUUUCUUUGUGGGAGGGAGUCCGUCGUGUACGUGUUUCGAACAUGCCACCAGGUACUACUUGUAGCGAUCAGACCUCAAACAGUCUGAUCUCUGUGCUCCGGUGUCAUCCCUGGAUCAAUAAUGCUGACACCACACAGUACUCGGAGGAUUUAUAGCAGAGUAGCAAUCACACACUUAUUACAUCGAGUAUCUCAAAAGAGAACUUAUUACAAUAAAUAUGGCUUAAGGCCAUCUAAUAACGAUAACAGCGGAAGGCUUGGAAGAUAAGUGAGUCCAUCAACUCCAACGGCAUCAUUGAGUAUAGAACCACGACCUAAAACUCCUUAAUCGUCGUCUGAAAAGUCUGCAACAUUAACGUUGCAGCCGAAAACGGGCCGGCACAUAGAAUAUGUUGGUAAGGUAACACAUAGAGAGUAAUGAAAUGAAACAGCUAUACUAUAUGCAUAUUUGACUGGUGAAAAGCUUUAUGGUUACAGUUUUGCGUAAAGCCAAUUUUUCCCUACUUCAAAGGAAUAAAUUUAUUUAACUAUCAUGGUAGUUGUUAAACAUUGAAAAUGGUUGACAGCAUUCUCAAUCCCAAUUAAGCAUCAUCAUUAAACAUAACCCAACAAAAUUAAAUUUAGAGUAACAUGUUGAGAUUCACAUGAUAAUCCAGGUACUAGAUACUCAAGAUGUCCAUAACCGGGGACACGGCUAACCAUGAUUAGUUUAUUACACUCUGCAGAGGUUUGCGCACUUUUUCCCACAAGACUCGAUCGCCUCCAUUUGGUUUCUCGCACUACAUGGUGUUUGAGAAGACGGAUGACCGAGACAUAGUCUUUCAGAAGCGCUAGCAACUUACGAUCGGGUAGACCGUACCACCUACAUCCCCUACAUCUGCUAGUCUACCACUGUAAGAGUUCGCACGACUUAGUCAACUAUGCUAGAGCCCAUAAUAGUUUGUGGCUGCACACGGAAGUUUCUAGUAUGAAUAGUCUCAUGAUCCCUUUGAGUCUGGGUGACGGUCCAAAAGAAAACAGGCAAGUCCUGAAAUAUCUAGGUGCCUCAAUCCAUCCAGAUGUGUGUUUAAAUUGCCACCUUAGAUAAAUCAUUAAUUAACAAAACUCACAUCUAUCAUGGAUAUCACUCACCCAAUCCACGUCUACUAGCAUAGCAUGGCAUAAUAAGCAAACAUAGAAGUAACUUCCAAAGGUUUGAUAAUAAACAGGUAAUAGGUUCUACCUCAUCUACUUCCCAUCCUACAAUUUAAUUAGAUCAUAACCAUGCAAUGUGUGAGGAUUGAUCUAAUGCAAUAAAACUGGGUAGUAGGAAAGGUAUGAUCAAAGUGUUACUUGCCUUGCUGAUGAUCCGCGAAACCUAGAGAUUCGAAGUAACAGGCGGCGCACUCCGGGUAUUCUAUCGCAGACAAACAAACAAGCAUAUAAUAAGUACUCAUCUAAUGCACGGGUAAAACUCAAAUAAGAGAUCUAACUAGAAGGUUCAACUUAAAAACUCCGGUUGGCAAAAAGAAUCAAAUCGAACGAAGCAACGAAAGUCAAACGGUGAAAGAAAACAACUUUGUUCUACUAAUCUGGAUCUAGGGGAAAUUUUACAGUAGAAAAUCUUGUUUAAGUUGGUUAAACGGAUAGAGGGUUUCGAGACGAAACUCCAGGUGCUUGAAUCGCCUGAUUCCGAUAAAUGAGCGAAAAGUUACACUAAAACGAAAAUCGGACCAGGAAUGGCGAUCAGACAAAUCACGGAUUUAAUCCGAGAAAAAGAAAAGACGACGAACGCUCGCUAAAUUAAAUAAACCGGAAAACCGAUCUAUUUUAAAAAACCGAAACUAAAAAAAACGACGAAAAAACCGAACGGUUUUUCAAAAAAAAAAUUAAAAAAAACCGGGCACGGAUUUUGAGGCGGCGGCGUGCGGCGGCGGCGGUGGCGGGGCGGCGCGGCGCGGCGGGGCUAGGGCGGCGCUAGGUUUCGGCUGGGGCUGGGGCUGGGCCUCUCCCCGGCUUAUAAAGGCUAGCCGGGCCGGAGUACUAGUCGGACACGGCCCGUAGGUCGGUUUGAUUUUUUUUAAAUAAUUACGCACAGAAGAAAAAAUAAAAAGAAAUACUAAACCGACUCCAAAAAUUUCGAAAUAAAUUUUCAUGGAUUUCUAAAAUCAAGCCGCACAAGGUGAACAUUUAUUUGGGACCUAAAUGAAAUGUUGAAAAACGCACAUUUUUCCUAAAUUCAAAUAAAACACCGAAAAACUCCGAAAUAAAAUCUUAUUUGAUUUUAUUAUUAAUCUUCAAUAUUUCUUUAUUUUGGAAAAGUCAUUUUAUUCCCUCUCUCAUAUUUUUGUAAUAGAAAUAAUUGAUGAUAAAAAAAUUAAAUUAAAUGAUCAUAUUCUCAAAAUUUGAGAAAACUCAAAUAUGAAAAUAACGAAAUCUCCAACUCUCUCCUGGGUCAUUGAGUUGCGUAAAAUUUUUUAGGAUCAACCAAAAUGCAAAAUAAAAUAUGAUAUGCAAUGAUGAUCUAGUGUAUAACAUUUCAAAUUAAAAAUUUGGGAUGUUACACUACUUCGCCGGAGGAUUAAUGCCCGAUCGACACGCAUUGCGAUGGCUAGCCCAACUUCGCGCUUCUUGUGACCCAACAAGUUGAUGUUGGAAAGGGAAGAUGUCGACUACAUUGCCUGUACACAUGCAUGUGCGCACGUGUACGUAGGAGAUAGUGUCCCAAACGAUAUACCUACCCCCGUGCCGAUGGAUUACUUUUCCUAGAGUGUGCAUGAACAACUUCACGUGCAUCGACGACGACGGUGUGCUAGCACAACACAAUUUGGAGAGGGACUAAAUAAACAUGGACUUGAUCAUCAGAUAGUUAUUUCUACAGAUUAAUGAAGAAACCGAGACGGUAUCGUGUCGUGUGGUGUCCCCUUGAUUUUGCAUACAGUGGCCAGCACCGCUGGUAAAUCGGGCAACGCGACCAGAGUUCAGUCUCCGUCGUGUCACACCAGAGACCAGUACUCACGCCAGUAUAUGCAAGAUCAUUCCGCAGAGAACUUUGUUGUCUUCUAGGCACCUUGCUGUGCCUGCCAAAUGAUGUAUGGCCGCAACAUCGCGCCGUUUUGGAUGGGUUUUAAUUGGCCGAUGACAAAUGCACCGUGUUAGGAUACGCCGGGAACAAAGAUCCAAAUUACACGCCGCGGCUAGCCAAGCAUCUUCGUACAUGCGUGCAUGUUCGUUCAACAGUGAGCUAGCUAAUGACCGAAUAAUUUCGUAGGUUGCACGUAGGCCACUGUUGCACAUUUAUUAUACUCAUCGUCAGGUCCAGGAAGGAAACAGAUCCACGUUCGUAUACGUCCAUACGUGCGCAUGCACAUCGUGCAUGGACGGACCGGCGCGUUCGGCUCGUCGCGGUUCCCGACGUAGCAUAGUGAAUCGCUGCUCUUGCUUGGUCUCGCUUCGGCCAGGCAGGCGCGCCAGUGUGCCGCGAUAGUAUAUGCAUGCUAUCCCUCCUCCCACAUGCUCCAACUGCCUCUCGAUCGGCCGAUCCCUAUGUGCCACCUCUCUGUAGCACGUGCGGCCUACGCUGGCUAGCGGCAGCUAGGAUAAGUCACAUCAGUUUUUUGUUAUCCCUUAAAUAAAUAUACACAUUUGUUAUCUCUUUCAGCCGAUGGAGUCAUGCUAUGGUUUCGUUUUAUUUUACAAUACACCAAAACCAACUCAGCUACGUGGUGCUAAUACACAUGGACAUGGACAUGGAUGUACGUAGUACAUGCACGUGUGGGCGCGCCAACGAGCUGAGAGAGAGAGAGAGAGACGGGCCGGAUCCGGCGGCCACCUGGCUGAUUCCACCAAUUUAGGCGUGAUUUACAUACACAUCAACACAUGCAUGCACCUGGGACACCAUCCAGUAAGCACGUCACAUGCAGAUGCAACGCCGUAUCUAUCUAGCCUUAAUGAUCUUGUAAUGAUCGGCUUUAUCCAGGACCGGCGGAGGAUCACGCUCACGCUCCGGCCGAUCAAGAAGCUCCGGCCUGGUCUUGGUCUUGGAUGCCCUCCUUGACCGUCCCGUCUGUUAUCCUCGUGCCCGCGGGCGCCGGACCGGCGCCUUGUCCCAAACAAGCGGCGAUCUCGGCUAUACUCGCCGGUUGUUUUCAUCUGCACGUGCUGCGCUCACCUAUCCUGUCAUUGCAUGCAUCCAUGCAGCACCGAUCUGUGCAUGUGUGGUUGUUAGCCACAAGUUUUUUCUCCUUAGGGUGUGGUUAGAUACAGUAGCAAGUUGGUACGUGCAUGCGUGGACAGUGGACGCCCAAGUUGCAUGCGCCCGGCCCAGUGCGCGGCCGCGCGCGCACCCGAAUGCUCGGCGGGUGUGUGCAGUGCACGCAUGCAGACAUGCAGCACGAUGCAAGUGGACGCGGCGCCCACGUAGUACGUAGGCCGUGCGUGUCUGCCCCCGGCUGCCGCCUGCCGCCUGCCGCGGCGCGGCAUUGAUGACGCCGCCCGGACAUGCACACAGCACGACCGCGACCCGUACGUGCCUGAAAUCAAAGCGUACGCGCACGGGGCAGAAUCUCCCCGCCAACGCGCGCGCGCCGUGCCGACGGCCGUGAGUUCACGGCACACACCGGCGUGAGCUUGUCACAGCGCACAACCGAAGACGUACGUGCUCAGUACGAGCAAACGGAGACUCUCAGACCGCCGCUUCCGGGGUCCAAAACACCAGCGACCAACAAAGAGUUCGUCUUUGAGCUGAACCCUUUUUCUAAUAUGUUUUUUCUUCAAAUGAUCCAUCAUAUCAAACAAUCAUGCAUGUAGGGGAAAAGGGGGACGAAGAACCGGAGAAACGUUGCUGUCGUCGGCCCAUCGCCGGUUAACAUUGAAUUGACGAGNNNNNNNNNNNNNNNNNNNNNNNNNNNNNNNNNNNNNNNNNNNNNNNNNNNNNNNNNNNNNNNNNNNNNNNNNNNNNNNNNNNNNNNNNNNNNNNNNNNNNNNNNNNNNNNNNNNNNNNNNNNNNNNNNNNNNNNNNNNNNNNNNNNNNNNNNNNNNNNNNNNNNNNNNNNNNNNNNNNNNNNNNNNNNNNNNNNNNNNNNNNNNNNNNNNNNNNNNNNNNNNNNNNNNNNNNNNNNNNNNNNNNNNNNNNNNNNNNNNNNNNNNNNNNNNNNNNNNNNNNNNNNNNNNNNNNNNNNNNNNNNNNNNNNNNNNNNNNNNNNNNNNNNNNNNNNNNNNNNNNNNNNNNNNNNNNNNNNNNNNNNNNNNNNNNACGCUUAAUUUAAAAUUCUCUCUUUUAGAGUUGGAACUUAAUCUAAUUAGCUCCUUUUACAUUAAUAAAGAGGCGCUAACGACAUGAAAGCAUGUCUUCGUCGUUUCCCUCGCCACUUUGCUGCCCCCCUCGAACGAUCUCAUUUAACUCACAGUCCUAAUUAAUCUAGUCGUCGAUCACCGAUAAGCUUCACUAACUUAAUCGCCGGUUUUCCUCAUACGCCGCCACGUCCCAUAUUCUCUCCGGCGCCGGCCCUUGGUGCACGAAUAUUUAUAUCUUUAUUGCAUGUAGUGAUAUAGUACAUCAAACAAGACGAUAGGGAGAGCAGGUCGAUCGCUUGGUGUUCUCCCUAUGAUUGAUCGCAAUGGUUCAUGCAUGCAUGUCAUGCUUUGGCGGGAAUCAAAUCCUACUAGCUGACAAGCGGCAACAUCAUUUUUAGAUUUGACGAUCGAGCAAGCCUCCAACCACUCGUCUAGUGCUAGACAUCUCGUCCUUGGAGGUUAAGAGAGAAUCUCAAGGACGGGCCCCCUAGAUGCCUUUGUCAAAUCACCGAAUGGCUUCCUGCGGAGAAGACUAAUGGCGCAAAAUAGGACAGACGGUCUCCUGCUGUUGAUUUGUUUGGACAUUCUUGCGGUUGGCAUUGGAAUUGGACUCCCUAUUUAAUCAUCAUUUUAGAGAAAAGAAAAGAAAAGGUUAGGUGCCAACCGUUUGCAGUUUGUCAAUAUCUACCGUAUGAACUGAUCCUGCCACGUCGAGGGUGACGCAUCAGCGGAUCCACGGUAUAUAUGAUUCCCUCGCGUCACAAAACAUGUCGCUUGAAAUCCAUAUCAGACAGAUUUUUGACGGUUUUGUGAGAAGUUAGCAGUGGUGGACAACGAUAACUGCCAAUCGAUGUCAAUUUCCGUGCAAAAUUUUGCCUUUUUAGAAUUCUUACAACAAAUACUAUGUUUGUGUGCACUGUAUGAACAAAUUCUCACAAAGUAUAGUGAACAUUUUUUAGAUCUAUAUAGUACAUGACAAAAACUGCAACGUCAAUUGAAAACUAAGAUUUUCUUAGUCGAUUGAGACAGUGCUACAUAUUUUUUUGCUCCGUAUGAUAAAACCAUGGCGAACAUUGCUUUUUUUCUUUUCCUUCUUUAUAAGCAAAUCUGCAGAAUAAGCUAAUAAAUAAGACUUCUGUUGGAAGAGUAGGCAAAUUCAUGAUUAAUUUCAGACUUUCAGUAAAUAAUUCAUGAAUAGAACAGAAAAUUGCAUGCAACAAUCUGGCAUAUUAGAUGAAUAGGAAAACAUGCACAACAUCAUCGCACAUAUAACAACAACUACAAAUAGACAUGAACAAAUCAUGAUGAACGUACUGUUCGUUAGCUGCUGCAGGAGCGACGUUGUUGAUGACAAUGUUGGCGACGGUCUUUUGUUUUUGUUGAUGGCGUUGGAGAUGACGAUGAGCAGCCCCGCUUGACUUGGACAGAAGAUCACCCGUGAUGACGAACUUGAGCAGUUGCGCAGAGUGCUUCACAAAAUACUAAUUCGUCAUCUUUCGGUGCAGGAUCGUAAGGACGAACGAUUCCGUAGACCUGCUCUCCCGCAUGCCGACAACUUGUCUGCCAAGAAAUCAAAAAUAAACGACAAAAGGAAGUUGUGCCUAUGCAAGACAAUGGACCGGGUUUCCAUGGACCAUUCACGCGCAACCUAUUGGAUUUCGGCAGAUCAUUUACGCGCAGCCUCGGCCCGAGCCCAUGCCCGGCCAGGCUAGGUGAGCGAGCACGCGUGUGUGGUCUUUCAUUUCUCUUCUCAACACAUCACUUAGUGUGGUGGAGAGAACCCACUAUAUAAAGAGGUCAAACACUUCCUCCACUAGCGGUAUGAGAAUAAACUUUAGCACCACUACUUGCCCUUUUUACAUGGGCCUCUUUGAGAUUUCAUAAAUUGUACAUGGGUUAUGCCCGCUAUUUCUAACAAUCCCCCGCUAGAUCUCAAAUACCCAUUUAGAGAUUUGUCUUUUCUCGCUACUUGUUUAAUAUACUAGUGUUUCAGCAGAUACUCUUAAGUUGAACUUCUACCUAGAGUUUUAAGCUACAUCCAUUCAGAACUUGACAAUGGACUAUGCCUUGAAUUGCAAGUUUGUGCAAGCAGAGUUCACUCAAAGUCUUAACCAGUAUCUGGCUGCCAGUAGGCUACCCCGCGGUUUGAAGCAUACACCGUACUCCUCGGUCUCUUCGUUUGCUUAAUUACUAGAAAUCAUACAAGUCUCAUACACCGCGAUGUUUACAGUCAGGGCUCAUAUAGGUGUGUUCUUUCAAGACUACUCCGUAGGACAACAUCUUUAAUAAUCAUAGCUAAUAGAACCGCAUUAAGGCAUGUUGUCUACCUGCCUUACCGCUCUGAGCAUUACAACUAUGAGAGUUAUGCAUCUUCAUAUAGAGUGGGUUAUAUGUUACUAUGGUAUGUUAACCAAUAGCUUGUUCUUCUAAGGUCCUCAUUCAUGGGAUCUCCAAUCACAAAGGUUGUGUUACUAAUAUGGUGCAACAUCUAUGGGUCUCAUACCCAUCUCCCUCGAUGCAUUAUAUAUCACAUUUUGUGAUAGUCCCUUUGUAAAGGGAUCUUCCAGGUUUGUCUGUUUGAAUAUACGUAACAUUUAUUACUCCGGGGUUUCUCAAUUUCUUGACAGACUUUAAACGUCUCUUCACAUGUCUUGAUGACUUCACAUUAUCCUUAGAAUUGUUUAGUUUAGCUAUAACCAUUUGGUUGUCACAAUUCAUAAGAACAUCCAGUGUAGGUUUUUCAACCACAUGCAAGUCUAUCAAGAGCUCAUGCGGUCAUUGUGCUUCAACAGUGGUUGUGUCUAAAGCAGUAAGUUCUGCUUCCAUGGUUGACCUCGUCCAUACGGUCUGUUGACAGGAUGUACAUGACACUGCGCCACCCCCAUAAGUAGAUACAUACCCACCUGUGGCGUAGAGCACAUCAACAUCAGAAAUAUAGUUUGAAUGACUACAUCCUUCAAGCACAGCAGGGUGCCCUGAAUAGUGAGUUUCGUAACUCAUAGUACCUCUCACAUAGAAUGAGACCCUUUCUAGUGCAUGUCAAUGAUCAUCAUUCGGGUUGGACAUGAACCUACUCAGUUUGCUCACAGCAAAAGAGAUAUUCGGUAUUGUUGAGCUAGCUAUAAGUACUGAGUGACCGAGAAUUUGAGAGUACCUCAAUUGAUCUCUUGUUUCAUUCUUGUUCUUUCUAAGUGUCACACCAGGAUCAUAAGGUGUUGGAAAAGGCUUGCCAUCCAUAAUGCCGAACAGGCUCAAGAUCUUCUCAACAUAGGUAGAUUGCGUUAAAGUUAUCCCACUCUCAUCCUUAAUCAGUGUGAUGUUUAGAAUUACACUAACUUCUCCCAGAUCUUUCAUGUUCAAACUUUUUGAUAGAAAAGACUUGACCUCAUUGAUCACAUCAAUGUUUGUACCAAAGGUCAGCAUGUCAUCCACAUACAAAUACAACAUAACACCAUCGCCCCACCAUAGCUAUAGUAAACACACCUAUCAACAUCAUUAAUGACAAAGCCUCCAGAAGCCAGAGUUCUGUCAAACUUCUCAUGCCAUUACUUAGGGCAUCUCCAAAGGUGACCCACAAAUUUCCUCCCGCAUUCGCCCGUGAACACGGAUGCGGAAGGCCGCCAUCCAACCGUAGCCACCGAUUGCUUCUAUCUACGUUGGUAUUUCCCCGAAGAGGAGAGGUUGAUGCAGCACAACAACACUAAGUAUUUCCCCCAGUUUUUUUUCGACAAAGGGUGGAUUUUAUUGACUCAAAAUGGAGCAUCAAGAAGAUACAUAACACCAUGAGCACACACCCGGCCUCUGCACAGCUAGGAUGCACACAGCCAACACCAUCUCACACACGCGAGAAAAAUGCCGGCAACUAGCAAAGUCAUAUAAGACCAAAGCUAUGUGUAGGCAAGGAAAAAAAGACCUCAAAGUGAUCAUAUUUGUGAUCGGCAAACUACGACAAUGACCAUAUCCGCACCAACAAUUUCAUUACACCACAUGGACGAUGAGAUUCUUCAACAACAACGCCUUCAGGAAGGGAGGAGCAAUAAUCAAGGGUCACAGUCACCGGAUCCUACCGCAAGGUCAGAAUCUAGGUUUUCACCCUGAAGAAUCAGUCUGAUCAUAUUCGAGCAAUGCCUUCAACAAGGUAGCGACGUAAGAAAAAACAUCACCAUUGCCAGGUAUAACCACUCGGGUCUGACCUAGGCUUUCGCCCCGAAGCUCGAGACCAGGUGCUUGAGUAACACCACCAUCGAAAUCACUCAUGUGUUGUCGCCGCCACUUUUCCGCGAUCCUAGCAGCUACAUGUCAUGCGACCGUCGUCACCGCACAACCAUCCCUUUGCGUCAAGUCAUCGUCCAUAAUUUGUAUCUCACCGCCGAAGUCACCACGGGAUCAGGAGAGGUGACUCAUCCCAAAAACCUUUCGAUGACCACCGCCGUCGUGGAGCCAUAGAUAGUUGCCGCAAUAGAUUUUAGUCACUACCAUCUGGCCGAUCAAAUCUGGAUCACCACCACCAAUUCAUGGACUGUAGCGCCGCUGGCUGGCCACCGUACAAGCAGAAGGCCAACACCCAGCGGUUCCACGGCUCCACAUCUACACCACCACACGGAGCCCUCCAUGGAUGCACCUGAAGAUCAUGCGCACAAGAAACAGAUUGUUGUCUCCUGCUGUGCACAGAACUGAUCCUCAGGCUGUGCUACCUCUUGAGCACUGCGUUGGUUUUUCCCGAAGAGGAAGGGAUGAUGCAGCAAAGUAGCGUAAGUAUUUCCCUCAUUUUUUGAGAACCAAGGUAUCAAUCCAGUAGGAGGCGACACGCGAGUCCCUCGUACCUGCACAAAACAAAUAAAUCCUCGCAACCAACGCGAUAAGGGGCUGUCAAUCCCUACACGGCCACUUACGAGAGUGAUCGAUCUGAUAGAUAUGAUAAGAUAAUAUUUUUUGUAUUUUUAUGAUAAAGAUGCAAAAUAAAAUAAAAGCAAAGGAAAUAACUAAGUAAUGUAAGAUUAACAUGAUGAAGCUAGACCCGGGGGCCAUAGGUUUCACUAGUGGCUUCUCUCAAGAGCAUAAGUAUUCUACGGUGGGUGAACGAAUUACUGUUGAGCAAUUGACAUAAUUGAGCAUAGUUAUGAGAAUAUCUAGGUAUGAUCAUGUAUAUAGGCAUCACGUCCGAGACAAGUAGACCGACUCCUGCCUACAUCUACUACUAUUACUCCACUCAUCGACCGCUAUCCAGCAUGCAUCUGGAGUAUUAAGUUAAUGAAAACUGCGUAACGCCCUAAGCAAGAUGACAUGAUGUAGAGGGAUAAACUCAUGCAAUAUGAUGAAAACCCCAUCUUGUUAUCCUGGAUGGCAACAAUACAAUACGUGCCUUGCUGCCCCUACUGUCACUGGGAAAGGACACCGCAAGAUUGAACCUAAAGCUAAGCACUUCUCCCAUUGCAAGAAAGAUCAAUCUAGUAGGCCAAACCAAACUGAUAAUUCGAAGAGACUUGCAAAGAUAACCAAUCAUACAUAAAAGAAUCCAGAGAAGAUUCAAAUAUUAUUCAUAGAUAGACUUGAUCAUAAACUCACAAUUCAUCGGUCUCAAUAAACACACCGCAAAAAGAAGAUUACAUUGAAUAGAUCUCCACAAGAGAGGGGGAGAACAUUGUAUUGAGAUCCAAAAAGAGAGAAGAAGCCAUCUAGCUAAUAACUAUGGACCCGUAGGUCUGAGGUGAACUACUCACACUUCAUCGGAGGGGCUAUGGUGAUGAUGUAGAAGCCCUCCAUGAUCGAUGCCCCCUCCCGCGGAGCUCCGGAACAGGCUCCAAGAUGGGAUCUCGUGGAUACAGAAAGUUGUGGCUGUGGAAUUAGGGUUUUGGCUCCGUAUCUGAUCAUUUGGGGGUACGUAGGUAUAUAUAGGAGGAAGGAGUACGUCGGUGGAGCAACAGGGGGCCCACGUGGGUGGAGGGCGCGCCUAGGGGGAUAGGCGCGCCCCCCUACCUCGUGGCCUCCUCUCUUGUGUCUUGACGUAGGUCCAAAUCUCCUGGGUCUUGUUCGUUGAGAAAAUCACGUUCCUGAAGGUUUCAUUCCGUUUGGACUCCGUUUGAUAUUCCUUUUCUUCGAAACCCUAAAAUAGGCAAAAAACAGCAAUUCUGGGCUGGGCCUCCGGUUAAUAGGUUAGUCCCAAAAAUAAUAUAAAAGUGGAUAAUAAAGCCCAAUAAUGUCCAAAACAGUAGAUAAUAUAGCAUGGAGCAAUCAAAAAUUAUAGAUACGUUGGAGACGUAUCAAGCAUCCCCAAGCUUAAUUCCUGCUCAUCCUCGAGUAGGUAAAUGAUAAAAACAGAAUUUUUGAUGCGGAAUGCUACUUGGCAAAAGUUUAAUGUAAUUCUUCUUAAUUGUGGUAUGAAUAUUCAGAUCCGAAAGAUUCAAGAUAAAAUUUUAAUAUUGACAUAAAAAUAAUAAUACUUCAAGUAUACUAACAAAGCAAUCAUGUCUUCUCAAAAUAACAUGGCCAAAGAAAGUUAUCCCUAUAAAUCAUAUAGUCUGGCUAUGCUCCAUCUUCACCACACAAAAUAUAUAAAUCAUGCACAACCCCGAUGACAAGCCAAGCAAUUGUUUCAUACUUUUGGUGUUCUCAAAUUUUUUCAAUCUUCACGCAAUACAUGAGCGUGAGCCAUGGAUAUAGCACUAUAAGUGGAAUAGAAUGGUGGUUGUGGGGAAGACAAAAAGGGAGAAGAUAGUCUCACAUCAACUAGGCGUAUCAACGGGCUAUGGACACUACUGGAAUCAGCUAAUUUGCCAUCUGCCAGCUCUUUGCCGUCUGCUAGCUGACGGCAAAGAAGCUCUUUGCCAUCAGCUACCAAAAAGCAGACGGCAAAGAUCAGGCUGACGGCAAAGAAGCUCUUUGCCGUCCGCUAGCAGACGGCAAAGAAUCUUUGCCGUCAGCUGGCAGACGGCAAAGAGAGAGGUGGCCCCCACCCCCCGCCCGUUUGGGAAAAACUUAACGGCCCAUCUCUUUGCCGUCUGCUAGCAGACGACAAAGAGGCAAAAGGGCGGACGGCAAAGAGAGGCGGACGGCAAAAAGGGCAGUAUCUAACGGCCCGUACCCCCCGUCCCUCUCUGUUCUCUCCUCGCCCCGCCACCACUUCCCACCCCACCGCCGCCGCCGCCGCCCGCCGCGNNNNNNNNNNNNNNNNNNNNNNNNNNNNNNNNNNNNNNNNNNNNNNNNNNNNNNNNNNNNNNNNNNNNNNNNNNNNNNNNNNNNNNNNNNNNNNNNNNNNNNNNNNNNNNNNNNNNNNNNNNNNNNNNNNNNNNNNNNNNNNNNNNNNNNNNNNNNNNNNNNNNNNNNNNNNNNNNNNNNNNNNNNNNNNNNNNNNNNNNNNNNNNNNNNNNNNNNNNNNNNNNNNNNNNNNNNNNNNNNNNNNNNNNNNNNNNNNNNNNNNNNNNNNNNNNNNNNNNNNNNNNNNNNNNNNNNNNNNNNNNNNNNNNNNNNNNNNNNNNNNNNNNNNNNNNNNNNNNNNNNNNNNNNNNNNNNNNNNNNNNNNNNNNNNNNNNNNNNNNNNNNNNNNNNNNNNNNNNNNNNNNNNNNNNNNNNNNNNNNNNNNNNNNNNNNNNNNNNNNNNNNNNNNNNNNNNNNNNNNNNNNNNNNNNNNNNNNNNNNNNNNNNNNNNNNNNNNNNNNNNNNNNNNNNNNNNNNNNNNNNNNNNNNNNNNNNNNNNNNNNNNNNNNNNNNNNNNNNNNNNNNNNNNNNNNNNNNNNNNNNNNNNNNNNNNNNNNNNNNNNNNNNNNNNNNNNNNNNNNNNNNNNNNNNNNNNNNNNNNNNNNNNNNNNNNNNNNNNNNNNNNNNNNNNNNNNNNNNNNNNNNNNNNNNNNNNNNNNNNNNNNNNNNNNNNNNNNNNNNNNNNNNNNNNNNNNNNNNNNNNNNNNNNNNNNNNNNNNNNNNNNNNNNNNNNNNNNNNNNNNNNNNNNNNNNNNNNNNNNNNNNNNNNNNNNNNNNNNNNNNNNNNNNNNNNNNNNNNNNNNNNNNNNNNNNNNNNNNNNNNNNNNNNNNNNNNNNNNNNNNNNNNNNNNNNNNNNNNNNNNNNNNNNNNNNNNNNNNNNNNNNNNNNNNNNNNNNNNNNNNNNNNNNNNNNNNNNNNNNNNNNNNNNNNNNNNNNNNNNNNNNNNNNNNNNNNNNNNNNNNNNNNNNNNNNNNNNNNNNNNNNNNNNNNNNNNNNNNNNNNNNNNNNNNNNNNNNNNNNNNNNNNNNNNNNNNNNNNNNNNNNNNNNNNNNNNNNNNNNNNNNNNNNNNNNNNNNNNNNNNNNNNNNNNNNNNNNNNNNNNNNNNNNNNNNNNNNNNNNNNNNNNNNNNNNNNNNNNNNNNNNNNNNNNNNNNNNNNNNNNNNNNNNNNNNNNNNNNNNNNNNNNNNNNNNNNNNNNNNNNNNNNNNNNNNNNNNNNNNNNNNNNNNNNNNNNNNNNNNNNNNNNNNNNNNNNNNNNNNNNNNNNNNNGACCCCGACACGGCACCCCGACACCGACAGGACACCCCGACCACCGACACCUCCCGAAAAGGUGUUCUUUGGCCUUCCAGAGGCCGACGGGGUCAUAUAUUUGUGAAUUAUUAGUUAGGUCAUAUAUUUUUAGAUUUUGUUAUGAAAAAAAUCAUAUAUAAUUGUGUUGAUCGUGUAGUUUUAAAUAUGCAGUUGUUUCAUCGCUGCGAGGUUUGGUGUUCGACGACCUCGCCGUGCGUUUGACGAGCUCUGCCCCUUCGUUCGUGGGUGAGCACAAAUGACAAGUCCUCCUCCCCCAUUAAUUAUUUGAUCUAUUCCGAUGAAACUUGAUAGCUAGCUAUAUAUUAUUAUUCAUGUCGGUCUUUUUUUAUGUUGUACUAAUUUUGUUUACUGUUUGUCAUGGCAGGUGUUGAAAGAUGGUGGGCGCUGGUCGGGAGCGUGGUCUGAGGUCUUCCAUUCCAGACGCACCUCUCCGCCGAGCGUUGCUGGACAGUAUGGCCACACCGCCGGGCCCUUCUUCGUCGACCGCGGUGCCCAGCAGGGGACGAGGUAGGAAGAGAGGAGGUGGGGCACGUGGUCGUGGGAGAGGAGGUAGGGUGACUCCUACGGCGCCUUCCUCGCCGCCACCCCCAGCCGUUUCACCCGAGCACAUGACUGCUAGGGUGGACUCGUCCGAGGAGGAGGCUACACGGACUCCGGUCCACGAGCCUCCGGUCCACGGGUCUUGGGCCCAUGAGCCUCGGGUCGACUGGCCUUCGGCCCACGAGAGUUCGGCCCACGUGACCCCGGAGGAGCACACGUCCGGAUGGGGUACCUGGCCGGAUCAGCCCGAGGAGCCGAGUGGCCAUGCUGAUGAUGGCGGGGAGCCGACUGAUCUUGAGGAGGAGGGGGCAUCGUCUACCAGCGUGGUGCUACACGGCUCCCGUCCGUGCCGGUGACCCGCGAGCAGAGGUGGUUGAUUUUCCCUGAUGGGGAGAGGUACGUAAGUGCAUUUAAUAUUUUUGUACCUUGUGCAUUCACGUUUUUUCAAAUAACUAACGUGUUGGCCUUGUCAUGCUGCAGGGGUUGGGACCACCAUCAUAGUGUCCGCCGGCCCAACUCCGUCCUUGGAGUUCUUUGCCGGCAAAACUUCUCGGGGUUUGUCACGUUGCCUGGUGAGGGUCGGCUUCCAGAGCUUGGAUUGAGCUGGGAGCACUACGUGGCUGCCCCGGCCCCGCCGGAUGAGAUUAUCGACGGUGUCGUGUGCAACACGAGGGCAGACAUGGUGAUCAGAAAGUUCUGGGUAAUUUCUCCUUUACACAUUUAAAAAUAUUCAACUAGCUAGUUAUUAAUUGUACUAAUCAAUAUUGUCUCAUUUGAUUGCAGACAUUCUACAGGUGUGAGGAGGGAUACGAGGAGGACGCGGCACAUGUUAUCGAGAACGUCUGCAAGCGCCUACUCCAAAACUUACGGCACGAGGCUCGGGUGCAGGCUGUUCGAGACUACUACGCCUUGCGUGGUAUCAAGAAGACCAAGCCGGCGUGCCGCGAUAAGUUCCUGAGUAAGGAGCAGUACAUGAAGGUAAUUCUUAAGGCCUUCUCUACUUAAGUUCCUUCAUUUAGUAAUUCUUAGCCGUAGCGCUCAAGUUUCUAUUUGCUAACUUAGGCGCCUCCAAGAUGGUGCGCGGAUCGGAUGGAUUGUUGGGAGGUGUUGGUCGAUGAGUGGUGCUCACAACGAUGGCUAGCCCUCCACAAUGAGGCCAAGGACAAACGUGCCCAAAUGGAAGGUGUGCCACACCAUCAAGGCAGCUCCAACUUAUAUCAGUUCGGGCGCAACUGGGUAUGUGGUUUGCUUCAUGAUUCAUGCAAUUCAUUCAUCAUGCUAGCUUGAGCCCUUUAAUUACUAAUUUUCAUUGUUUCUCUCUUUCAGGCACGCUACAAUAAGGCGGAUAAGGUGCUAGAGGUGUACGACCCUGUAUGCCAUGGCCCACACUACCUCUUUCAAGAAAGUCAAGGCUUUCUCUCAGUCUGACCUCGAUGAUGCAAACAACUUCACCAACAUCUCCUCCCACAACAAGCUUGUGAGAUAUAGAGAUGAGGGGAAGGCGAGGAAAGGGGAGGACUUUAACCCGAGCCAGGGUCCCAUUGAUCCAGAGUUGUUGAUGAUAUCUGGUGGCGGGAGGUCCCAUGGCUCCAUAGCCAUUGGAGAUGGACUUAUCCGUUGUCCUAGCACUCUCCCGGAGAUCAAGGCGCGCCAGUCGAGCUCCGCUCCUGAGAUAAGGCCUCGUGAACGGCCAGUGCAACUCGCCAUCAAGGUUAGUGAUACGUACUCAAUUAUCUUUCUCCAUUACAUUGUGUGCGCUUCCAUCAAUGAUUACAAAUGGUCAUGUGAGUGGUGUUGCAGGCUGCUAUACAGAGUGAGAGAGAUAGAACAGAGAAACUUCUGGCGGAGGUGGCGGAGAGGCAGCGGGAGUUGGAGGAGAGGACGACAAAGAUGAUGGAGGAGGAGAGGGCACGGAAUGACAUGCAGGCAAGGGCCAUGUACGAGCUCCUUGUGGCAAGUUUCUUCUGCAGAUUAGCCAAAACAUUCAUGUAGUGUUUGUCUCAUUACUAACUAGUAUGACCGAGUCGUCAAAACCAAAUGUGCAGUCUGUGUACGAGAAGACAGGUCAGACCGCUCCGCCGAUGCCAGUGAUUGCUCCUGGGACCACGGUGAGUUUUAUUUGAAUGGACAUUACUUGCUAGUCUUAACAUUUGAGUGUCAUCAUGCUAACAAGACAUUGGAAAUGAUCUUUGGUGCAGCGUAACUCCAGACAAGCAUCGCACGAUCCUUCUCCAGCUACCGACACGAGCCACCCCGCUCCUACACCUCCUACAUCUUGGUAAGUUUAUCUAGUGUUUUGCUUAACACAUGCAUAAAGACCUAGACUUAGCUUUAUUUCCUCCAAUGCUUACCAUAAUGACCUAGACUUAGCUUCUUCACCUCCAAAAUGACUUAAUAAGCUUACUGACCUCCAAAACCAUCCAUUUUACCUAAGUUAGCUCUAAAACGAUCUGUACUUAGCUUACUUAUGUCAAAAAUUGCAUAAUUAGCUUAGUUAGCUUAUAGACGAUCCAUUUUACCUAAGUUAGCUCUAAAAUGACCCAUUUUACCUAGGUUAGCUUAUAAAUGAUCCAGUUCAUCCAAGUUAGCUCAAAAAUGACCCAUUUUACCUAGAUUAGCUCCUAAAUGAUCCAUUUUACCUACGUUAGCUUUAAAAUAACCCAUUUCACCUAGGUUAACUCCAAAAUGACCAAUCUUACCUAGGUUAUCUCAUAAACGAUCCAUUUCAACUAAUUUAGCUCAUAAACGAUCCAUUUCACCUAGGUUACCUAAAAAACGAUCCAUUUCACCUAAAUUAGCUCUUAAAUGAUCCAUUUCACCUAAGUUAGCUCAAAAAGAUCCAUUUCAACUAAAUUAGCUCAUAAAUGAUCCAUUUCACCUAAGUUAGCUCAAAAACGAUCCAUUUCAACUAAGUUAGCUCAUAAAUGAUCCAUUUCAUCUAAGUUAGCUAAAAAAGAUCCAUUUCACCUUAGUUACCUGAAAAACGAUCCAUUUGACCUUAGUUAGCUCAUAAACGACCCAUUUCAACGAAGUUAGCUCAUAAAUGAUCCAUUUCACCUUAGCUAGCUCAUAAACGACCCAUUUCAACUUAGUUAGCUCAUAUAUGAUCCAUUUCACGUAAGUUAGCUCAUAAAUGACAUACUCUUCUUGUUCUAGUCUUCUUCUUGUUCUACUCUUCUCGUUCUAGUCUUCUUCUUGUUCUACUCUUCUUCUUGUUCUACUCUUCUUCUUGUUCUACUCUUCUUGUUCUAACUUUCUUAUUUUUCAUUUUUGCAGAGUUCAUUCACUUGACGAAAGCUUGCAUAGAUGGAGUGCUCCUUAUCCCUUUCUCUGUUUCUUUUGUAUCAUUGAACUAUGCAUGUAUCGUUGGAUGAAACUAUUGUAAUAUAUAUGGUUGGAUGCCUCUAUGUUGAACUUGUUAUGUAUGAUGGAACUAUGCAUGUAAUAUAUAUGGUUGGAUGAUGAAGUUAUGUGUUGGAUAUCUUAUAUGUUUGCUCUGUAAUGGCCUUUUGAAAUAUAUCUAUAUAUGUCAUCUAUAUUUGUGAUGAAAAUUGUUGGAUUUAAUAAAAAACAGAUAAAAGAGCCAAUAUGCAGGCUCUUUGCCGUCUGACACCGACGGCAACGGGCUCUUUGCCGUCUGCUGCGGACGGCAAAGAAGGCACGUGGCAUCCAGCUGUGCUUCCUGGGAGCUGACCCGUUUGGUCAGUUUGCCUACAGUGGCAGACGGCAAAGCCUUUGCCAUCAGUGGCAGACGGCAAAGAACCUGCCAUGUAGUGACGUGUAGAUGACAUCAUACGGCGGACGGCAAAGACACUAGAAAGUUUGCCGUUAGCGGCGGACGGCAAAGGCCUGCCGUUAGCCACUUAACGGACUGACAGCGCAAUUAUUGCCGUCCGCCUUCUUUGCCGUCUGCCGCGCUCUCUUUGCCGUCUGCGACGGACGGCAAAGACUUUGCCAUCAGUAGCAGACGGCAAAGUAGCUGUUUACCGAAGCCUACUUUGCCGGAGCCUUUUGCCGUCCGCGGCUGACGGCAAAGGCCUUUGCCGUCCGCCGUUCAUGCCUUUGCCGUCCGCCGCGGCAGACGGCAAAGUAGCUGAUUCCUGUACUGGGAGAUGCCCAUCAAUAGAUAUCAAUGUGAGUGAGUAGGGAUUGCCAUGCAACGGAUGCAAUAGAGCGAUAAGUAUAUGAAAGCUCAACAAAAGAAACUAAGUGGGUGUGCAUCCAACUUGCUUGCUCAUGAAGACCUAGGGAAUUUUGAGGAAGCCCAUCAUUGGAAUAUACAAGCCAAGUUCUAUAAUGAAAAAUUCCCACUAGUAUUUGAAAGUGAUAACAUAGGAGACUCUCUAUCAUGAAUAUCAUGGUGCUACUUUGAAGCACAAGUAUGGUAAAAAGGAUAGUAACAUUGUCCCUUCUCUCUUUUUCUCUCUUUUUUUAUUUGGGCCUUUCUCUUUUUUUAUGGCCUCUUUCCCCCUUUUUUUCGUCCGGAGUCUCAUCCCGACUUGUGGGAGAAUCAUAGUAUCCAUCAUCCUUUCCUCACUCUAAUAAUGAUGAUCAUCACACUUUUAUUUUUCUUACAACUAAACAAUUACAACUCGAUACUUAGAACAAAAUAUGACUCUAUAUGAAUGCCUCUGGUGGUGUACCGGGAUUGCAAUGAAUCAAGAGUGACACAUAUGAAAGAAUUAUGAAUGGUGGCUUUGCCGCAAAUACGAUGUCAACUACAUGAUCAUGCUAAGCAAUAUGACAAUGAUGGAGUGUGUCAUAAUAAAUGGAACGGUGGAAAGUUGCAUGACAAUAUAUCUCGAAAUGGCUAUGGAAAUGCCAUAAUAGGUAGGUAUGGUGGCUGUUUUGAGGAAGGUAUAUGGUGGGUGUAUGAUACCGGCGAAAGGUGCGCGGUAUUAAAGAGGCUAGCAAAGGUGGAAGGGUGAGAAAAGUGCGUAUAAUCCAUGGACUCAACAUUAGUCAUAAAGAACUCAUAUACUUAUUGCAAAAAUCCACAAGUUAUCAAAGCAAAGUAUUACACGCAUGCUACUAGGGGGAUAGAUUGGUAGGAAAAGACCAUCGCUCGUCCCCGACCGCCACUCAUAAGGAAGACAAUCAAAAAAUAAAUCAUGCUCCGACUUCAUCACAUAACGGUUCACCAUACGUGCAUGCUUACGGGAAUCACAAACCUUAACACAAGUAUUUCUCAAAUUCACAACUACUCAACUAGCAUAACUUUAAUAUCACCAUCUUCAUAUCUCAAAACAAUUAUCAAGCAUCAAACUUCUCAUAACAUUCAACACACUCAUAAGAAAGUUUUUACUAUUCUUGAAUACCAAGCAUAUUGGGACUAUUUAAGAAAAUUACCAUGCUAUUUAAGACUCUCAAAAUAAUCUAAGUGAAGCAUGAGAGAUCAAUAGUUUCUAUAAAACAAAUCCACCAUCGUGCUCUAAAAGAUAUAAGUGAAGUACUAGAGCAAAAUUAUAUAACUCAAAUGAUAUAAGUGAAGCACAUAGAGUAUUCUAACAAAUUCCGAAUCAUGUAUGGCUCUCUCAAAAGGUGUGUACAGCAAGGAUGAUUGUGAUAAACUAAAAAAUAAAGACUCAAAUCAUACAAGACGCUCCAAGCAAAACACAUAUCAUGUGGUGAAUAAAAAUAUAGCUCCAAGUAAAGUUACCGAUAGAAGUAGACGAAAAGAGGGGAUGCCUUUCGGGGCAUCCCCAAGCUUUGGCUUUUAGGUGUCCUUAGAUUAUCUUGGGGGUGCCAUGGGCAUCCCCAAGCUUAGUCUCUUGCCACUCCUUGUUCCAUAAUCCAUCAAAUCAUUACCCAAAAACUUGAAAAUUUCACAACACAAAACUUAAAGUAGAAAAUCUCGUGAGCUCCGUUAGCGAAAGAAAACAAAAGACCACUUCAAGGUACUGUAAUGAACUCAUUCUUUAUUUAUAUUGGUGUUAAACCUACUGUAUUCCAACUCCUCUAUGGUUUAUAAACUAUUUUACUAGCCAUAGAUUCAUCAAAAUAAGCAAACAACACACGAAAAACAGAAUCUGUCAAAAGCAGAACAGUCUGCAGUAAUCUGUAGCUAGCGCAAGAUCUGGAACCCCAAAAAUUCUAAAAUAAAUUGCUAGACGUGAGGAAUUUAUCUAUUAAUCAUCUGAAAAAAUAAUUAACUAAAUAGAACUUUCCAAAUAAAAAUUGCAGCAGUUCUUGUGAGCGCCAAAGUUUCUGUUUUUUACAGCAAGAUUAACAAGACUUUCCCCAAGUCUUCCCAACGGUUCUACUUGGAACAAACACUAAUUAAACACAAAAAAUACAACCAAAACAUAGGCUAGAUAAAUUAUUUAUUACUAAACAGGACAAAAAAUCAAGUAAUAAAAAUAAAAUUGGUUUGCCUCCCAAGAAGUGCUAUCGUUUAACGCCCCUAGCUAGGCAUAAAAAGCAAGGAUAGAUCUAGGUAUUGCCAUCUUUGGUAGGCAAUCCCUAAGUGGCUCUCAUAAUAGAUUCAUAAGGUAAUUUAAUUUUCUUUCUAGGAAAGUGUUCCAUGCCUUUCCUUAACGAAAAUUGGAAUCUAAUAUUUCCUUCCGUCAUAUCAAUAAUUGCACCAAUCGUUCUAAGGAAAGGUCUACCAAGAAUAAUAGGACAUGAAGGAUUGCAAUCUAUGUCAAGAACAAUAAAAUCUACGGGCACAUAAUUCCUUGCAACAAUAAGAACAUCAUUAAUUCUUCCCAUAGGUUUCUUAAUAGUGGAAUCUGCGAGGUGCAAGUUUAGAGAGCAAUCAUCAAAAUCACGGAAACCUAACAAAUCACACAAAGUCUUUGCAAUCGUGGAAACACUAGCACCCAAAUCACAUAAAGCAUAGCAUUCAUGAUCUUUAAUUUUAAUUUUAAUUUUAAUAGUUGGUUCCCACUCAUCAUAAAGUUUUCUAGGGAUAGAGACUUCUAAUUCAAGUUUUUCUUCAUAAGAUUGCAUCAAGGCAUUAACGAUAUGUUUAGUGAAUGCUUUAUUUUGACUAUAAGCAUGAGGAGAAUUUAGCACAGAUUGCAACAAGGAAAUGCAAUCAAUCAAAGAGCAAUUUUCAUAAUUAAAUUCCUUGAAAUCCAAAAUAGUGGGUUUAGCAACAUCUAGGGUUUUAAUUUCUUCAAUCCCACUUUCAUCAAUUUUAGCGCCGAGAUCUAAAAACUCCGAAUUCUUGGAACGUCUUCUAGGUAAAGGUGGAUCAUAAUCAGUCCCAUCAUUAUUAAGAUUCAUAUUGCAAAACAAAGAUUUAAUAGGGGACACAUCAAUAACUUUUAGAUCUUCAUCUUUAUUUUCAUAGGAACUAGAAGAACACGCUCUUAUAAAGGCAUCUUUCUUAGCACGCAUCCUAGCGGUUCUUUCUUUGCACUCAUCAAUGGAAAUUCUCAUGGCUUUGAGAGACUCAUUGAUAUCAUGCUUAGGUGGAAUAGAUCUAAGUUUCAAAGAAUCAACAUCAAGAGAAAUUCUAUCAACGUUCCUAACCAACUCAUCAAUCUUAAGCAAUUUUUCUUCAAUCAAAGCAUUGAAAUUCUUUUCCGAAGUAAUAAAUUAUUUAAUAUUAGAUUCAAAAUCAGAGGGCAUCUUAUUAUAAUUUACAUAAGAAUUGUUGUAGGAAUUACCAUAAUUAUUAGAGGGAUUACUAGGAUAAGGCCUAGGAUUGAAAUUUCCUCUAUACGCGUUGUUACCAAAAUUGUUCCUACCAACAAAAUUCACAUCCAUAGAUUCAUUAUUAUUCUCAACCAAAGUAGACAAGGGCAUAUCAUUAGGAUCGAAAGAAACACUCUUACUAGCAAAAAAUUCAUAAGUUCAUCCAUCUUUCCACUCAAAACAUUAAUUUCUUCUAUCGCAUGCACCUUUUUAUUAGUAGAUCUUUCAGUAUGCCAUUGAGAAUAAUUAACCAUAAUAUUAUCUAGGAGUUUAGUAGCUUCUCCUAAAGUGAUUUCCAUAAAAGUGCCUCUCGCGGCCGAAUCUAACAGAUUUCUAGAAGCAAAAUUCAAUCUGGCAUAAAAUUUUGUAUAAUCAUCCACAAAUUCAAACCAUGAGUAGGGCAAUUACGUAUCAUUAAUUUUAUCCUUUCCCAAGCUUGUGCAACAUGUUCAUGAUCAAGUUGCUUAAAAUUCAUAAUAUCGUUUCUAAGGGAGAUGAUCUUAGCGGGAGGAAAAUACUUAGAGAUAAAAGCAUCUUUGCACUUAUUCCAUGAAUCAAUACUAUUUUUAGGCAAAGAUGAAAACCAAGCUUUAGCACGAUCUCUAAGCAAAAAAGGAAAUAGCUUCAAUUUAACAAUAUCGUUAUCCACAUAUUUCUUCUUUUGCAUAUCACACAAAUCAACGAAGCUAUUUAGAUGGGUAGCAGCAUCUUCACUAGGAAGGCUGGAAAAUGGAUCUUUCAUGACAAGAUUCAGCAAAGCAGUAUUAAUUUCACAAGAUUCAGCAUCGGUAAGAGGAGCAAUCGGAGUGCUAAUAAAAUCAUUGUUGUUGGUAUUGGUAAAGUCACACAAUUUAGUAUUAUCUUGAGCCAUCGUGACAAGCAAGCAAACUAGCACACAAGCAAACAAAAAGCAAGCGGGCAAAAAGAGGCAAAUAGUGAAAGAGAGGGAGGAUAGAGAGAGAGAGAGGGCGAAUAAAACGACAAGGGUGAAGUGGGGGAGAGGAAAACGAGAGGCAAAUGGCAAAUAAUGUAAUGCGGGAGAUAGGGAUUGUGAUGGGUACUUGGUAUAUUGACUUCUGCGUAGACUACCCGGCAACGGCGCCAGAAAUCCUUCUUGCUACCUCUUGAGCACUACGUUGGUUUUCCCCGAAGAGGAAGGGAUGAUGCAGCAAAGUAGCGUAAGUAUUUCCCUCAGUUUUUGAGAACCAAGGUAUCAAUCCAGUAGGAGGCUACGCGUGAGUCCCUCGUACCCGCACAAAACAAAUAAAUCCUCGCAACCAACGUGAUAAGGGGUAGUCAAUCCCUACACGGCCACUUACGAGAGUGAGAUCUGAUAGAUAUGAUAAGAUAAUAUUUUUGGUAUUUUUAUGAUAAAGAUGCAAAGUAAAAUAAAAGCAAAGUAGAAAGCAAAGGAAAUAACUAAGUAUUGGAAGAUUAAUAUGAUGAAGAUAGACCCGGGGGCCAUAGGUUUCACUAGUGGCUUCUCUCAAGAGCAUAAGUAUUCUACGGUGGGUGAACGAAUUACUGUUGAGCAAUUGACAGAAUUGAGCAUAGUUAUGAGAAUAUCUAGGUAUGAUCAUGUAUAUAGGCAUCACGUCCGAGACAAGUAGACCGACUCCUGCCUGCAUCUACUACUAUUACUCCACUCAUCGACCGCUAUCCAACAUGCAUCUAGAGUAUUAAGUUAAUGAAAACAGAGCAACGCCUUAAGCAAGAUGACAUGAUGUAGAGGGAUAAACUCAUGCAAUAUGAUGAAAACCCCAUCUUGUUAUCCUCGAUGGCAACAAUACAAUACGUGCCUUGCUGCCCCUAAUGUCACUGGGAAAGGACACCGCAAGAUUGAACCCAAAGCUAAGCACUUCUCCCAUUGCAAGAAAGAUCAAUCUAGUAGGCCAAACCAAACUGAUAAUUCGAAGAGACUUGCAAAUAUAACCAAUCAUACAUAAAAGAAUCCAGAGAAGAUUCAAAUAUUAUUCAUGGAUAGACUUGAUCAUAAACCCACAAUUCAUCGGUCUCAACAAACACACCGCAAAAAGAAGAUUACAUCGAAUAGAUCUCCACAAGAGAGGGGGAGAACAUUGUAUUGAGAUCCAAAAAGAGGGAAGAAGCCAUCUAGCUAAUAAAUAUGGACCCGUAGGUCUGAGGUGAACUACUCACACUUCAUCGGAGGGGCUAUGGUGAUGAUGUAGAAGCCCUCCAUGAUCGAUGCCCCCUCCGGCGGAGCUCCGGAACAGGCCCCAAGAUGGGAUCUCGUGGAUACAGAAAGUUGCGGCGGUGGAAUUUGGGUUUCGGCUCCGUAUGUGAUCGUUUGGGGGUACGUAGGUAUAUAUAGGAGGAAGGAGUACGUCGGUGGAGCAACAGGGGGCCCACGAGGAUGGAGGGUCCGCCUGGGGGGUAGGCGCGCCCCCUACCUCGUGGCCUCCUCUCUUGUGUCUUGACGUAGGGUCCAAGUCUCCUGGGUCUUGUUCGUUGGGAAAAUCACGUUCCCGAAGGUUUCAUUCCGUUUGGACUCCGUUUGAUAUUCCUUUUCUUCGAAACCCUAAAAUAGGCAAAAAAACAGCAAUUCUGGGUUGAGCCUCUGGUUAAUAGGUUAGUCCCAAAAAUAAUAUAAAAGUGGAUAACAAAACCCAAUAAUGUCCAAAAUAGUAGAUAGUAUAGCAUGGAGCAAUCAAAAAUUAUAGAUACGUUGGAGACGUAUCAGGCUGCCACGCACACGAGGCAGACAACUGGACGCUGGAUAUGGCGCCCUAGCCAAGGGCCACAGCCUGGAGGGCGCGCGCGUGUGUCACAUCAGGCAACAGUAGGAGGCUAAUGGAUGAUGAGGAAUGGUGGGGUUGGAGGAGAGGCGGGAGUAAGGGAGAGAGGGAGCAGCAGAGGAGCCCCACCGCCGCCGUCCGCCGAGAUCAGCAUCCUCCAGCGGUGGCGGGGGGUUUGGUGGCUUGGCUGGGGGACUUUUGGUGGCGGCGGCUAUGCCUCUGGAGUCGCCCGAGAGUGACCCAGGAGGCUCGCUCGGGAUUGAACAGAAAUGAAUGAGUAUUUUCCCUAGUUAUGAAACCAAGUUCAUCAAUCCAGUAGGAGAACCAAGCAACACUAUAUAAACGGUACAUGCACACAAAGAACAAAUACUUGCAACCCAACGCGUAAGAGGGGUUGUCAAUCCCUCCUCGGUAUUGAGAUAGAUUAAAUUGUAUGAGAUUGGAUUGAUAGAUCUAGCGAAAAUGCGAAAUAAAAUAAAUAAAGAAAAAGUGUAGCAAGGUAUUUUUGGGUUUUUGGAUAAAUAGCUUUGAAAACAAUAAGAUACUCCCUUCAUAAACUAAUAUAAGAGCGUUUAGAUCACUACUUUAGUGAUCUAAACAGUCUUAUAUUAGUUUACAGAGGGAGUAGAAAAUAGACCCGGGGGCCCUAGAUUUCACUAGUGGCUUCUCUCGAGAAAAUAGCAUAUGGUGGGUAAACAAAUUACUGUUAGGCAAUUGAUAGAAGAGCAAAUAAUUAUGACGAUAUCCAAGGCAAUGAUUGUAGGAGAUAUGCCCUAGAGGCAAUAAUAAAUGUUAUUGAUUAUCUCCAUGUUCAUAAUUAGGUUUAUGUUCCAUGCUAUAACUGCUAUGGUUCCCGAGUCUGCAAAUAAAAAGAGGCUCGGAGGAAGACUCAUAAGCAUGUGUGGAAUAAUAAACGAUAAAAUGUAUUCCUAGGCUGGCCUCUAAGACUAGCUCAAGUGUUGCAUGAUGGUUCUGUUUUCCUGAUCAUGGGCAUGUCUAUGCCAACAAUUUUGAGGGCACAAUGUUAGCAGAACAUUUGUGUUGAAUCGACCCGAUUGAUGUUAUGCUAUGAGAUACAUUCGUCAUAAGUUAAUGGUUAAUAACGUAGAGAUGGUUAACGUUUGCAUGAUUCCUCAGACCAUGAGAGUAUCGAGUUCCUUCAUGCUUGGUUCAUGAACUUUGGGGUUUGUUAAACGUCAUCCGUAACUGGAUGGCUAUUACGGCGGCUUACGGGUUCAUGGGAAAGUAUGUCAAGUAACUUAAUAGCUCGAGAUUUGGAUUUGCUCCUCCGACAAUGGAGGGAUAUCUCUGGGCUCUCUCGGUGUUACGGUAUCCAUCAUUGUCUGGCCAGACACAGUGUGAUUUGAUCACUGGGAUGCCGGAACACGGAAACGAGUAAAGAGAACAAAACCGGUAACGAGGUAACUUGCAUGCUGGACAAAUGGUUCGUCCACGGGGAUGCAACAAAUCUCACCUCGGGUGUUUGUGACAUAUCGCGAAGCAACAGGAAUAGCUCACUACAACUGGAGGUUCACUCGAAUAUUUAUUCGUGUGGGUAUAGGGGUCAAUAUGGGUGUCCACGGCUCCGAUGUUGAUCAUUGAUCGGAAGGGGUUCCGGGUCAUGUCUAUACUUCACCGAACCUAUAGGGUCACACGCUUAAGGGUCAUCUAUCUGCUGAAUACUAGACAAGGAGUCUGAGAGAAAAUCACCGAAAAAGUUUCGGACACCGGAAAAGUUUCGGACAUCGAAAAAGGUUCCGCAGAGAGAGGUCAUCGGAUGAGUUUCGAUGAAACUGAAAAGUUGUUUCAGGGGAUACCAUUAAGUCAAAUUGGUUUCGGCACAUGCCUGAUAAUUCUUGGAGAGUGCCAGAAUCAUUCUGGAAGCUUUCUGGAAUUUUCCGGGAUAAUAACCGGAUAUGCUCCGGAGCUGCCGGAACCACUUCAGAUGCUUUUCGCAGAUGAAAAUCACUAAAUCGGAAUUGUUUCGGAAUGCGUUGAAAAUCAUUUUGGUGGGUACUGGAAAUGUUCUAAGCCCACAUAAAUAUUUUCAGUUCAAACGGACGCUGAAAAAUGUCGUCGUGAAUAGUGAAAAUCAGCUUUAUGGUUACUUUAUGGAAAGCCACCUUUUGGGGCUUUGCUCCAAAAGAUCUUGGGGAUGAUAUGGAUGGAUAGGAGCCAUUUUUUGGGCCCCUCAUGGGGGUGUGGCCGGCCACAUGGGGUAUCCCCCCUUGGGGACCCUCUUGUUCCUUGGUUUCACUCCUAGGUCCUUGUGGAAGGACUUCAUUCAUGUGCAUUUUGGGUGUUUGUGUGAAACUACCCUACCCCUUGGGAUUUCCUAUAAAUAGAGGUGGAGGGGCAACCCUCCACACUCAUCCCUUCUCACAUACAAGUGCCAUGCAAUGAUCUGGCUUCUUUUCUCCCUCCCAUGAAAAGAGUUUCGUAGAGCCGUAAGGUUGUCUGGGUUCCGGCAGGAACUAGUUCUGGACGGCGAAGCCCUGCCGGAUAGAUGACACCGUAUGUGUGCAACUCUGUAGAGAGGUCGUAGUUUCGAUCUUAGUGUCCGAGGGGCUGUUCGAGAAUGCCUCCCGAAGGGCUGUCCAAGUGACGGUCCGAGUUCUGUGAGUCCUCUCGAAGGGCUGUCCGAGUGACCGUCCGAGUUUCGAAGGUCCUCCCGAAGGGCUGUCCGCAACACCGUCCGGGGGACUGUUCGACCGCCUCCCGGAGGGCUGUCUGAGGAGCAGAUGAGGGUAUACAUCCUUGCGGUUGGGAGGUUGUAAAUCCUAGCUGCGGGGAUCUGCACCGUCGAUCGUCAUCGACUCUACUUCCCGCUGCGCUACGAGUCGGUAACGAAACAGAUCAAACCUUGUAUGCAGUCUCCAUAGUGGUCCUGGGCUGGUGCGUAGGUCGGAAAUUUUUUGUUUUCUGCUGCGUUACCCUACAGUGGCAUCAAGAGACGUGCUAUGCGUAGAUGCAGGUUUCGAUCUAGAAUACAUGGAGAUGUAUGGGUAUUGCAUAAUAUAGUUAGGUAGUAGAUGAGAUCUAUUGCUGAAAAUUAUUUAUGCGGGUGACAGAUGAAAUCUGUUACCCGACGUUCUUGUUGCUUCCCUAGAAUUUGCGUUUGCUCAAUCUCGAGAUAGCAUGCUGGAAUUUAACAAAGUUCUGGCAAUCCGUGAUCCUGAUUGAUCAUGGAAGUGCUAUCAGUUCUUUGGGUUCUGCCGUAGUCAAAAGAAAGAUGAAAUUCGCAGAUGAAAGGGCAUUGCAGAUAUGAUCUCCACGGUGGUCAUGCGUAUGACGAAGUUUAGUAUGGGGCUUGACAUUUAAUUAUCUUGUGUUUCAUACACCCUGAGAUGUUAAUCUAGCAACUUGAAUAAUCAUACUUGAUGAUAAAACGUUGGUAGCUGCGGUUUAAGUCAAAACCUUAGAAGUCACGUAAAAUAAAUUUUUGCAUAAACCGAUUAGAGGCGUCUAACUUGGUUUUGCAGGAUGUGCAUGUGAUGUGGUAUAGCAAUGCCCAUAUUCAAUUUGAUUAUGUAUGAGAUGACUAUAUGAUGUAAUUAACAUGACCUGUGUGUCAUGAUUCGGCAUGAUGGCUGGAGCCAUAUGAUUGUCACUUUAAAUGACCUGCGUGUCAACCUUGUUGCAAUGCAUUAUUUUAUUAGCUAUAGAGAUAGCAAUAUUAUCUGGUGCAUCGACAAGGUGGUGACAAUCUUCGCGAAGGUGAACACCGACGCGAGUGCCGAAGACGAAGAAAUGAAAGACUUCUCCGUCAGAAAGGGCUAUACCAUAUCAUGCUAAUUAUGAAUUGCCUGAGAUGUUUAUCCCUUUGAUGCACCCUUCUUGAUUGCGCCGUAGUCGCUUUUUAUUAGGGUGAUCUCUCACAAAAAUAUCAAGUAGUUAGUGUUCUCCCAAGUGUAGCACCGUCACGGCACCUAUCUUUUCGGGGUGCGCCGUGUCACACGGGUACGAACGAUUAGAGAAGUGUGAGGCGGGUGAGUUGAGACCUCGCAGCGAGAUCACUUGGUUGUCUUGACGUUCAGGCAUGACCGUCAUGAGCUCCGAACACAUGCAUCGAAAGAUGAACAAGAGUCACAUAGAGAUGUGAUUGGCAAGUUGGCCUACCGGUUGAGAUUUUCGUCAUCAGUGCUGUUACACCAAUGGCGUUGAAUUAAAAUGCGGAUCUUGAAUCACUCACGAUCAAUUAUGAGAGAUAUUGAUUUGAGUGGGAGCGCACUGUUGAAUUAACUUGUUUAAUUCUUAGUGCAAUUAAUUGUGAACAUUGUCUAAAGUGUUAUUUGCCUAAUAGUUAUAGAAUAAUGGCUCGCGUUUCCACCCUCCCUAUUAAAAUUGAAUAGCUGUUAAAUAUCUGGUUAAAACUUUACGGUUGGUAACGUAAUGUGAGGAUUGUCCUCAAGAGUGCCGAGAAGGACUUUGUCCUAUCGCAUACUUUCGGUAUUCUCCCGCUAAUGCUAUGGAUCAUGUGACUCUCGUCCUUCGAUCCAAAAGCUAGAAUUCCGUUUUCAGUCAAGUGCAAUAUGUUUGCUUCCAUGAAACCCAAACUUCGAAAGUUGGGAUAGUUAUAUGAUAUUCAUGGAACUGAAAAUUAUUUUCAGAUACAAACAAAGCAAUGUUUGUUUGCAAGUAUUAGUAAAAGUGUUUACUAUGCAUUUGACUGUUGGGAAAGGGAUCCAGAAGAAUGCCUGUCAUAUAAUGAAAGGUGAAUAAAACAACAACUUAAAGAGAAAGGAAGUGUCCAAAGGGUGUUAGUAUGACUUACACGCCUAGGAAGUCCGAGGCUAACGCCACUCUUAAGUUGGGUGCUUCUUUUGCGAGUAGGAGAAAUACUAAAAGUUAAACGGUUAGAAGUAUAAAGGCAGAAAGAAAGAUGACUGGAAUAUCCAGCUCAUGUAUGAAUGUCAUACAAGUUUUUGAUGUAUAGUAGGCUGGUCAAAGAUAUAGUUCUUGGGAAUUAUGGUUAAACAUGUUAAUCACUAAUUCUUGGGUAUUGUGAGUUAAUCACAAAGACACCUGAUCGAUUGCAUUCUGUUACGAAUCAAUGUAAGAGCUACUAUGGCCUAAAAAGACUAGCCAGAAAUGAGGUUAAGGUAUACACAGGGAACAUAGUAAAUGUUACUAUACCUUCCAUCGGUGUAUUGCCGUCUGUAUUUAUUUUCAUAAUUCAUUUAGAGUUUUACAAACUCUAGCCCAUUGCAUAAAGUAUCUUGCAAGAAGGUUGUUCAUAAGAGAACUUUUUAUGUUCGAUGUUAUGAAUAACACAAGGGCCAUACUUUCAUUAUGAAUGAGAUGUAUGUUAUGAAUAUUGAUAAUAAUACAAUACCUCUAGAUUUACUUUCAUAAUUCAUUUUAGAGUUUCAUACACUCUAGCCCAUUGCACAAUGUUUGUUGCAAAAGAGUUGUUCAUAAAAACAAAAAUUGUUGUUAAGUAUUAUGAAUAACAUGAAGGGCCAUGCUUCCAUCCAAGAUGGUAUGUAUGUUAUGAAUAUUGAUGGUAAUAUGAUACAUCCGUAACACUGACGCUAAAUGUCGCAAGACUAAAAGAAUACCCCACAAGUGUGGCACUACAUUUGGUCACAUUGGAGAAACCCGCAUGGAAAAUUCCAUUAUGAUGGAUUUUGAUGUCUUUUUGAUUUUGAAUCAUCUAACACUUGCAACUUUCCUCCGAAAAGUGAAGUGAUUGAAAUACCAUUCACAGGCCAUAAGGAAUGAGCAACAAACUUAUUGGUGAUCAUACAUUUUGAUGUGUGUAGUUCAAUAAAUGUUGUUGCAAGUAGUGGAUUUAUAUAUCUUCAGAAAUGACUCAAGUAGAUAUAUGGAUAUUUUCUUGAUGAGACGUAAGUUUGGAUCUUUUGAAAUCAUUCGAAAGGUUUUCAAAAAUGAAGUAGAAGUUAUUGUAAUAAGGAAAUUAUGUUUCUACAAUUUGAUUGUAGAAAGGAAUAUCUGAGUUACAAGUUUAGCGAAUGUCUGAUGAGUUGUGAAAAGAGUUUCAUAACUUACACCUUCCGGAACACCACUAUGAGUGGAAUGUCUGUGAAGAUGUAAUCAAACCAUUUAUGACAUGGUAAGGUCAAAGAUGACAUAAAUAAAUUUGCCAUUAUCCCUUUUAAAGUGAUGCUUUAGAGACUGCGGCUUUUACACUGAAAAGAGCUCCAUCGGGUCUGUUGAAAUGACACCAUGGUAUGGUACGCCCAACCAUGUUAUAUCUUUUCUUAACAUUUGGAAUAUGGGGUUUGUGUAAAGGUUACAAACCUAUUCCAAAUCAGACAAGUGCUACUUUGUAGGUUAUCCCAAGCAAUUGGGUAUUCCUCCCUCACUAAACCGAGGCAAAUAGUUUUGCCACGAAACGGUAUGCUUUUAAAGAGAAUGGUUCUUUCAAAAAGGGUGAGUGGGAGGACAGUGCAAACUCGACGAGAUAACAGUAUCUUCGUCAUCAGGUCAAAGGAAAGGAACCUUGGAAGUAAUUCCAGCGUUUCCUACUUCGACUGAUACGGAAGUCUCUACAAUAAAAUGUAUGGACUUCGGUCAAACUUGCAGCUGAACCACGUAGGCAAAGCUCGUGCAAACCUCUCAGGUGUGCAAACGAGAUAUUGUUGUUAGACAACAAUAUACCUACGAUACAUAAGGAAGCGUUGAUGGGCCCUGACUCCGGAAUUGGCUAAAUGCCAAUACAACCCGAGUUAGUUUCCAUAUAAGUGAUUCAAGAUUAAAACCUUGAUACACCUUUCGGAAGACUUAGAGUCUAUCAAAUAUUUAUGGAACUUAAAACUGAUAACGGAUAAAAAAAAUUUAUCCAUAAAGCUCGACUUGUUGCAAUAACAAGUUCAAGGAGUUGACUACAAUGAGAUUGUAUCACCGUAGAGAUGCUUAAAGUCGGUUCGGGUUGAACUAGCAAUUAAUACAUAUUUCAAUCUUGAGAUAUGAUACAUGGAUAACAAAAGGAUUUCCAUCUGAUGGAAAUGAAACCUAGGACUUGUAUGUGAUACAGUCCAAAGUAAUUUGUCGAUCCAAAGGAUGCUAGUAGGUAUGCAAACUUCAGAGUUCCAGCGAUGGACAGAAGAGAGCAAAAUGGAGUUGGAAUCUUCGUGUUUUGAUGAAAUGGUCAAAAGGGGUUUUGACUUCAUCAAUGGGUAAUGAAGAUGCUUGUAAUUCAAUAAAGUAAGUGGGAGCACAAUAAUAUUUCUAAAAACCUUGUGUGCUUGACACAUUGGUAAUUGGAAAUAAAUUCCUUGACACAAAUUAGGACUUCAUUUGAAAAUAGUUUUUCGAUGAAGUGCUUAGGCUAAAUAGCCUCAAUAUUAGGCAUGAUGAUCUAUGGAGAUAGAUUUACCUAAUGGGGCUAAGCAAUGAAUACAUAUUGACAAGAUGCUAAAACCUUUUAGUAUUUAAAACGCCAAGGAGUGAUUCUUGCCGAAGUCACAUGGAAAGAGUUUUUACAAGACUCGGUGUCCCAAAACACUGAUGAGUAAAAUACAUGAUGGAGAUUCCACACACCUUCGUGUUUUGGAUUAAUCAUGUAUUCCAUGGUAUGUAAAACAACCAGAUAUGUCCGAUACUCCAAAGGUGUUGUGAGUAUAGAUACCAAAGUGGUCAAAAGUACUGAUCAUAGGACAAAAGUGAAAGAUGUCAUUUAGUACCAGAGUAGUACUGGUGACAUGUUUUCUCGCAAGCAGAGAUUAUGAAAGUGCUCGUUGUAAGUAAUUACAUCAAUACAGUCUUCAUCAAUGCUCCAUGUGAUUUUCAAUUUAAAUUAAGGGUUUUUGUGUGAUACACAAUAUGGUGGCACGGUAGUUUGAAAUUGUUCCAAAUAAUAUACGGUGGCAAUUUCUAUAACAAGGGCUAAGUAUGUUGACGCUUUAGAAGCGACAAACAAGAUGUUGAAUAAUAUAGUUCAUUCAUAAACUUAGUAUGGUUCCAAGAUGGCUUUUGUCAAUGGGACACUACUGCAGGUAGUUGCUCCAUAACUCAGUCUGAGGAAUCCAGGUUCGACCUGUGAUUCACAUACAUACAAAGCCAAGUCCACACAAAAUAUGAAUUUUGUGAAAGCGUGAAAACGCUAGGAUUUGCAAAGAUACACAUGGAGCUGAAGUCGUCAGAUCCGUUGGACAUCAGGCUAUACCACAAGCGAAGCAUAUUUACACCAGUGUGCCACAGGUGUAAAGUGCAUUAGCAUUAACAAGAUUAUUGACUCUAGUGCAAGUGGGAGUCUGUAGGAGAUAUGCCCUAGAGGCAAUAAUAAAUGUUAUUGAUUAUCUCCCUGUUCAUAAUUAGGUUUAUGUUCCAUGCUAUAACUGCUAUGGUUCCCGAGUCUGCAAAUAAAACGAGGCUCGGAGGAAGACUCAUAUGAACGUGUGGAAUAAUAAACGAUAAAAUGUAUUCCUAGUCUGGCCUCUAAGACUAGCUCAAGUGUUGCAUGAUGGUUCUGUUUUCCUGAUCAUGGGCAUGUCAAUGCCAACAAUUUUGAGGGCACAAUGUUAGCAGAACAUUUGUGUUGAAUCGACCCGAUUAAUGUUAUGCUAUGAGAUACAUUCGUCAUAAGUUAAUGGUUAGUAACACAGAGAUGGUUAAGGUUUGCAUGAUUCCUCAGACCAUGAGAGUAUCGAGUUCCUUCAUGCUUGGUUCAUGAACUUUGGGGUUUGUUAAACGUCAUCCAUAACUGGAUGGCUAUUACGGCGGCUUACGGGUUCAUGGGAAAGUAUGUCAAGUAACUUAAUAGCUCGAGAUUGGGAUUUGCUCCUCCGACGAUGGAGAGAUAUCUCUGGGCCCUCUUGGUGUUAUGGUAUCCAUCAUUGUCUGGCCAGACACAGUGUGAUUUGAUCACUGGGAUGCCGGAACACGGAAACGAGAAAAGAGAACAAAACCGGUAACGAGGUAACUUGCAUGGUGGACAAAUGGUUCGUCCACGGGGAUGCAACAAAUCUCACCUCGGGUGUUUGUGACAUAUCGCGAAGCAACAGGAAUAGCUCACUACAACUGGAGGUUCACUCGAAUAUUUAUUCGUGUGGGUAUAGGGGUCAAUAUGGGUGUCCACGGCUCCGAUGUUGAUCAUUGAUCGGAAGGGGUUCCGGGUCAUGUCUAUACUUCACCGAACCUAUAGGGUAACAUGCUUAAGGGUCAUCUAUCUGCUGAAUACUAGACAAGGAGUCUGAGAGAAAAUCACCGAAAAAGUUUCGGACACCGGAAAAGUUUCGGACAGCGGAAAAGGUUCCGCAGAGAGAGGUCAUCGGAUGAGUUUCGAUGAAACUGAAAAGUUGUUUCAGGGGAUACCAUUACGUCAAAUUGGUUUCAGCACAUGCCUGAUAAUUCUUGAAGGGUGCCAGAAUCAUUCUGGAAGCUUUCUGGAAUUUUCCGGGAUAAUAACCGGAUAUGCUCCGGAGCUGCCGGAACCACUUCAGAUGCUUUUCGCAGAUGAAAAUCACUAAACCGGAAUUGUUUCGGAAUGCGUUGAAAAUCACUUUGGUGGGUAUUGGAAAUGUUCUAGGCCCACAUAAAUAUUUUCAGUUCGAACGGACGCUGAAAAAUGUCGUCGUGAAUAGUGAAAAUCAGCUUUAUGGUUACUUUAUGGAAAUCCACCUUUUGGGGCUUUGCUCCAAAAGAUCUUGGGGAUGACAUGGAUGAAUAGGAGCCAUUUUUUGGGCCCCUCAUGGGGGUGUGGCCGGCGACAUGGGGUAUCUCCCCUUGGGGACCCUCUUGUUCCUUGGUUUCACUCCUAGGUCCUUGUGGAAGGACUUCAUUCAUGUGCAUUUUGGGUUUUUGUGUGAAACUACCCUACCCCUUGGGAUUUCCUAUAAAUAGAGGUGGAGGGGCAACCCUCCACACUCAUCCCUUCUCACAUACAAGUGCCAUGCAAUGAUCUAGCUUCUUCUCUCCCUCCCAUGAAAAGAGUUUCGUAGAGCCGUAAGGCUGUUUGGGUUCCGGCAGGAACUAGUUCUGGACGGCGAAGCCCUGCCGGAUAGAUGACACCGUAUGUGUGCAACUCUGUAGAGAGGUCAUAGUUUCGAUCUUAGUGCCUGAGGGGCUGUUCGAGAAUGCCUCCCGAAGGGCUGUCCAAGUGAUGGUCCGAGUUCUAUGAGUCCUCCCGAAGGGCUGUCCGAGUGACCGUCCGAGUUUCGAAGGUCCUCCCGAAGGGCUGCCCGCAACACCGUCUGGGGGACUGUUCGACCGCCUCCCGGAGGGCUGUCUGAGGAGCAGAUGAGGGUAUACAUCCUCGCGGUUGGGAGGUUGUAAAUCCUAGCUGCGGGGAUCUGCACCGCCGAUCGUCAUCGACUCUACUUCCCGCUGCGCUACGAGUCGGUAACGAAACAGAUCAAACCUUGUAUGCAGUCUCCAUAGUGGUCCUGGGCUGGUGCGUAGGUCGGAAAAUUUUCGUUUUCUGCUGCGUUACCCUACAAUGAUCAUGUAUAUAGGCAUCACAUCCAAGAUUAGUAGACCGACUCCUGCCUGCAUCUACUACUAUUACUCCACACAUCGAUCGCUAUCCAGCAUGCAUCUAGUGUAUUAAGUUCAUGGAGAAACAGAGUAAGGCAAUAAGAAUGAUGACAUGAUGUAGAUAAGAUUUAUUCAUGUAGGAAUAGACCCCAUCCUUUUAUCCUUAAUAGCAACGAUACAUGCGUGUCAUGUCUCCUUCUGUCACUAAGAUUGAGCACCGCAAGAUCGAACCCAUCACAAAGCACUUCUUCCCAUUGCAAGAAAAAUCAAUCUAGUUGGCCAAACCAAACCAAAUUUUUUGAGAUAAAAUACAAGGCUAUAAUAAUCAUGCAUAUAAGAGAUGAAAGAAGACUCAAAUAACAUUCAUAGAUAGAACUGAUCAUAAACUCGCAAUUAAUUAGACCCAACAAACACAUCACAAAAAAGUCAUUACAUCAAAUAGAUCUCCAAGAACAUCGAGGAGAACAUUGUAUUGAGAACCAAAAAGAGGGAAGAAGCCAUCUAGAUACUGCCUACGGACCUGUAGGUCUGUGGUAAACUUCUAACGCAUCAUUGGAGGAACACCAAUGAGGAUGAUGAGCCCCUCCGUGAUCGCGAUCCCCUCCGGCAAGGUGCCGAAAAGGGCCCUAGAUUGGAUCUCGUGGUUCUGGAACUUGCGGUGGCCAAAAUUGUGUUUCGUCGACUCCCCUAGGGUUUCUGGAAUAUUUGAAUAUUUAUAGAGCUGAGAAGCGGUGGAAAGGACCUCCAUGGGCCCCACCAACCAUUAGGGUGCGCCCAGAUGGGUGAUGGGCCCCACGGGCCUUCCCUCACAUUUCCUUGGCUCCCAUUUUUGCUGAACGGACAACUGUUGUGCCGCUCUCGCCAGUUUCUCUCCCCGACGCAGAUGUUGCUGUCGCCACCUGAGCAACAACAGCGGCUGUCUGGGCUGCCUUGGCCGCACGGUCGCAGAUUGCGGCCAUGCUCACGCGACUUGUUACCAUGCGCAUGGCGGCUGCGGUUGCGCCCUCAUCGGAGUGGGCCAUCAAAGUGGCCCUAAAGACGCGGGUCCACGUCCCAUCUUUCACCGGCGAUGAUUGAACAGUGAAAUGAUAUUUGGGGAGCGAGCUAGUGUCCUUGAUGUGUCGGCUAUGGACUGUAGCUGGCGCUGACAAAGCUAUGUACCUAGGGUAGGGUCAAGGAUCUGUCCAAACUGCCCUACCCAAUGACAUCUCUAGAAGAAAUCACCUUUCAAUCGACUUGGAGGUGUUCCACUCGACAGACUCGAAGACACUUGACCAAGAAGCGAUCACUCGACCAAGACCAAACCACUCGACGGCCAGGAGACCUAAAGGCACUCCGCAUGCUAACGGUCGGUUAUUAAGUAGCCUUUAUGGUCAUCAUAGCACUUUAUUAGGGGCGUUACCAGUAUCGCCCGACCUUAAUGUAUUUAAAACCCUGCAUAACUGAGGGCCGGAGGGGUCCGGCGAACUCUAUAUAAGCCACCCCCUCCUCAGUGUAAAGGGUUCGCACCCCUGUAAACCAUACGCGCAUAAUCCAGUCGACCGCCUCCGGGCUCCGAGACGUAGGGCUAUUACUUCCUCCGAGAAGGGCAUGAACUCGUAAACCUCGUGUGCUUACAACUUCUCCAUAGCUAAGAUCUUGCCUCUCCAUACUUACCCCCCUACAUUACUAUCAGACUUAGAACCACGACAGUUGGCGCCCACCGUGGAGCAGGUGUUUUAGCGAUUUGUUGGAGGAGUUGCGAUCUUUUCCGAUCCGAAUCAUCAUGGUUUCCGGCGGAGUUUUGGUGGAGGGCCGCGAGAUCCGCCUCAGCGCGCUCACGUUCAUCGCCGACGACUCCGCUUGGCUUCAGGAGGCUCUGCUCGACGUGGACGCGCUCCCUGUCCGCGAGGCGAUGCACUUUCGCGCGUGCGCCCGCGGCAUCCUUUUACGGCAACCAUCAACCCACUAUCGGUCGGCUCCUGUGCUAUCCUCCCUCCCUAUUUCCCGCUGGCGCAAGCACUCUGGUCGGUCGAGAGUUCAGUGGUGGGUGAGACACGCGGUGGAACGCCAGUCGGCCACCCCUCAAGUCAUGGUGAUCGAGCCCGACGAAUCCCUCUACGGCCUGUUCGAUCUGUCGACUGACUCUACAGAGAUCGCAUCCGAGUGCGACAGCAGUGAUCCGGUGGCGGAGGUUCUGAUGGUCGAUGGACCACCCAGUCCUCCCGAUUUUCCCCGCACCGACAGGGGCGUGGGUGGAGGCGACCCGUCGCGUCCCCAUGAGGAAUAUCUCCCCGAGCCUCUCACGUCGUUGCAGAGAGAAGAACUUCGUCGCCGGAACAUGGAUGCGCUGCACACUCCUAUCGUCGGAGAAACCCCCGAGGCUCGCGCCUUGGAGGACGCGAGCCUGGCAAACUUGGCCGAGCGCACUCAACUGGAGAACCUUCAGCGAGCACUCGACGAGCGUGCGCGACAACGGGUUCCCGAAUCCAGUCGACGUCAGCUCUUCCCGCCCCCACAGGUAUAUCGAACUCUGAUUCAGAAUUUAAUAGCUGCAGCCCGUAUAGCAGAGUCGAUUUAGCCUUCCCAGUCGGAGGCUGGCAGAGGCUUGCUGCAGAUCAGGGCGUUACUCCGGGCAGCAGGAGACCAGAAUUUCGUUGUUUCUCAGUCGCGGAACAGGAUUCACAGCAGAUCCGUUGCUGCAGACACAGUCCAGUCGGCUCAUAGCCCAAGAUCACCCCUGAGGCGUGAGGGACGUGGAGACCGGCGUAAUCAGCACAGGAACCAUGAGCAAUAUGAUCAUCGAUUCGAUCGUGAUGAUCGACGUCGAGUGCCCACCCCUCCCCCGAGGAGCGGGUCGUAUGCGCCUCAACAGCAGGAUCACAUGCCUCCUCGUAGUGUUGGGAGAAGGAUUCCAGUCGACUCCAGGGAGCCAGGCUUUGAUGCGAGAUCCAUUCUCGUUCAAGGUUUGGUCGACAGGAACAGAGCUCACCGAGAAGGUCACGACAGAGACGCGCCUACCAGCAGCAGAGCACAUGUUUCGGGGCCAGAGUGCUUUAGUAGAACCAUCAGGGCCACUGUGAUUCCUCCCAACUUCAGGUUGGCGACUGGAGUCAGCAAGUUCACUAGUGAGUCCAAGCCCGAUACUUGUCUUGAAGACUACCGAGUGGCCGUCCAGAUUGGCGGCGGCAAUGAUGAAGUGGCCAUGAAACACCUGCCUCUCAUGUUGGAGGGCUCGGCCAGAGCGUGGCUGAACCAGUUAGCACCCAACAACAUUUACACAUGGGAAGAUCUCGCCCGAGUGUUUGUCACCACAUUUGAAGGAACAUGCAAGCGACCGGCAGGGCUGACGGAACUGCAGUCUUGCGUGUAGAAGCCGAAUGAAACGUUGAGGGAUUACAUCCAGAGAUGGAUCACGUUACAUCACACGGUAGAGAAUGUGCCUGACCACCAAGCAGUCUAUGCCUUCAAAGAAGGCGUCAAGUACAGAGAAUUAAAUCUAAAAUUCGGCCGGACCGGAGAUAUGUCCCUGAAUCGGAUGAUGGAGAUUGCCACCAAGUACGCUAAUGGUGAAGAUGAGGAUCGACUCAGGAGUGGCAAGCUCAAGUCAUUCGCUCAAGAAACCAGAGGAAAUUCCAAUCGGAAACAGAACCGGAAGGCCGAGCCAGCUGCUCCUGGGGAAGCCUUGGCUGUAACCCAAGGAAAGUUUAAAGGGAAACCCAAAGGACCUUGGAACCCCAAGAAAGUUAAAGACCAGGACGGAAAUGAUGUGUUGGAUUUGCCAUGUCUCGUCCACACCAAGAAAGAUGAAGAGGGUAACUUCAUUUACCCGAAACAUACCACUCGACAAUGUCGACUCUUGAUCCAGCAGUUCCAGGGCAAGCAGCCCAAAGAUAAGGAAAAGGAGUCGGACAAAGUUGAGUACAAGGAAGAUAGUGACGAUGGAUACCCCCAAGUCAAUUCCACCCUGAUGAUUUUUGCUAAUGUUGAAAGCAAAAGUCGACUAAAAGUUAUCAACAGAGAAGUGAAUAUGGUUGCUCCGGCGACACCCAGUUAUCUGAAGUGGUCUCAGACUGCCAUAACAUUCGACCGGUCUGAUCACCCAACACACAUCGCCACCCCUGGGAGGCAAGCUUUGGUGGUCGACCCAGUUAUUGAAGGCACUCGACUGACCAAAGUCUUGAUGGAUGGUGGUAGUGGUUUGAACAUAUUAUAUGCUGAGACGUUGAAAGGGAUGGGCAUUCCGAUGUCCAGACUCAGUACCAGCAACAUGAGUUUCCAUGGAGUCAUUCCUGGGAAGAAGGCUGAAUCACUCAGCCAGAUUGCUCUUGAUGUGGUUUUCGGUGAUUCCAAGAAUUACCGCAAAGAAAAGUUGACGUUUGAAGUUGUAGACUUCCAGAGUGCCUAUCACGCUAUUUUGGGCAGGCCGGCUUAUGCACGCUUCAUGGCCCGACCAUGUUAUGUGUAUCUCAAAUUGAAGAUGCCUGGCCCCAAAGGUGUGAUCACUAUCACGGGCAAUCGGAAGAAAGCGGAAGAGUGUUUUCAGAAAGGUUCAAAGAUCGCUGAUGCUCAGAUGGCAGUGGUGGAGCUGCAGGAAUACCAGAAAACUACAGACGCGAGUGAUUUGUUACGAGCCAAGAAGCCCGCUACAGAAUCAGCUUUUCAGUCGUCUGGCGAAACGAAGACAGCUCACAUCCACCCGACCGAUCCCAGCGCUGCUCCAACUCAUAUCUCAACAACACUCGACUCCAAAUAGGAAGAAGCGCUCAUCCAGUUCCUCCAUGAGAACUGAGACAUUUUCGCAUGGAAGCCUUGUGAUAUGCCGGGUGUUCCCAAGGAGCUGGCUGAGCACCGCCUAAGAGUCGACUCAAAAGUAAAACCUGUCAAGGAACAUCUUCGACGGUCCACCGUCCAGAAGAGAAAGGCUAUUAACGAGGAGGUGGCUCGGCUCUUAGCAGUGGAGUUCAUCCGAGAAAUCUACCACUCCGAGUGGCUCGCCAACGUUGUCAUGGUCCCCAAGAAGGACAAGUCACUUCGCAUGUGCAUUGACUUUAAACAUAUCAAUCGGGCCUGCCUGAAAGAUCAUUUUCCUCUCCCCGCAUCGAUCAGAUAGUCGACUCGACUGCGGGAUGUGAGCGACUGUCUUUUUUAGACGCUUAUUCCGGGUACCAUCAGAUCCGUCUGUAUGGACCUGACGAGAUCAAAACAACUUUCAUCACUCCAUUCGGGUGCUUCUGUUAUGUUACCAUGCCGUUCAGCCUCAAGAAUGCCGGAGCCACAUUCAUGAGGAUGAUUCGGAAGUGUUUUCUCACUCAAAUCAGUCGGAAUGUGGAAGCAUACAUGGAUGACAUUGUGGUCAAGUCACGGAAGGGUUCCGACCUGCUGGCUGACCUUGCUGAAACCUUUGCCAACCUCAGGAAGUAUGAUAUCAAGCUUAAUCCAUCAAAGUGCACAUUCGGAGUUCCUGGCGGAAAAUUACUCGGUUUUCUCGUUUCCGAACGAGGAAUCGACGCCAAUCCAGAAAAAGUCGGUACGAUACUCCGAAUGAAAAGUCCUGUGCGAGUGCACGACGUCCAGAAGCUUACUGGUUGCUUGGCCGCUUUAAGUCGAUUCAUAUCCCGUCUCGGUGAAAAGGCAUUGCCUCUUUACCGAGAUGAAGAAGUCCGACAAGUUCGAGUGGACUCCCGAAGCUGAUGCAGCGUUUGCAGAGCUCAAAGCUCUACUCUCCACCCAGCCGGUGCUUGCUGCCCCAAUCAGCAAGGAGCCUUUGCUGCUUUACAUCGCAGCCACGGGACAAGUCGUCAGUACGGUACUUACGGUCCAGCGGGAAGAAGGAAAAUCCUUCAAAGUUCAGCGCCCAGUAUAUUAUAUUUCUGAAGUUUUGACCCCGUCGAAGCAAAGAUAUCCUCAUUAUCAGAAGCUUGUAUAUGGGAUUUAUAUGACCACAAAGAAAGUUGCUCACUACUUCUCUGAUCAUUCCAUUACAGUCGUCAGUGACGCUCCGUUGUCAGAGAUCCUGCAUAGCAAGAUGCAACUGGUCGAGUGGCAAAAUGGGCGAUUGAACUCCUUCCUCUAGAUAUCAAGUUCGAGGCAAAGAAAGCUAUCAAGUCCCAGGCAAUAGUAGAUUUCAUUGCCGAGUGGAUUGAACAGCAACUGCCGACUCAGGUUCACUCGGAGCAUUGGACCAUGUUCUUCGACGGUUCCAAAAUGUUGAAUGGUUCCGGUGCCGAAGUGGUGUUGGUAUCCCCCCGAGGAGAUAAGCUCAGAUAUGUUCUUCAAAUCCACUUUGAUUCCUCCAAUAACGAGGCGGAAUAUGAAGCACUUUUAUAUGGGUUGUGCAUGGCCGUUUCACUUGGCGUCCGUCGCCUCAUGGUCUAUGGCGACUCAGAUUUGGUGGUUAAUCAGGUGAUGAAGGAAUGGGACGUCAGAAGUCCAGCCAUGACUGGUUAUUGCAAUGCAGUGAGAAAGCUGGAGAAGAAAUUUGAGGGGUUAGAGCUUCAUCACAUACCCCGACUAAAAAAUCAAGAAGCUGAUGAUUUGGCAAAAAUAGUUCCAAAAGAGAAGCCAUUCCCAGCAAUGUGUUUUUGGAACACAUCCACACACCAUCAGUUCAGGAGGAUCCCUUCACUGAAGAGGCCCCGCAGCCAAAAAGUGCCACAGAUCCGACUGAAGUUGAAGUUCCAGCUGUGGUCGACUUGAUCAUGGAAGUCUUGGUCAUCACUCCCGACUGGACAGUACCUUACAUCGCGUACAUCCUAAGGAAAGAACUCCCAGAGGACGAAGAAGAGGCUCGACAGAUCGUCCGUCGAUCCAAGGCCUUUACAGUCAUAAAGGGAUAGUUGUAUAGAGAAAGCGCGACUAGAGUCAGUCAGAAGUGUAUAACACCAGAAGAAGGUCAGAUGAUCCUUGAAGAUAUCCACUCGGGAACCUAUGGUCAUCAUGCAUCCUCUCGGACCAUUGUGGCUAAAGCAUACCGAGCGGGAUUUUACUGGCCAAGGGCCAAUGAAAUAGCAAAAGAGAUAGUCGACAAAUGUGAAGAAUGUCAGUAUUACUCCAUUAUGUCGCACAAGCCUGCGUCAGCUCUGAAAACCAUUCCACUCGUCUGGCCCUUCGCUGUUUGGGGGCUGGACAUGGUUGGACCACUAAAAACGGGCAGGAGCGGCUUCACUCAUGUGCUAGUAGCAGUCGACAAGUUCACCAAAUGGAUUGAAGCUAAGCCUAUCAAGAAUCUUGAUGCUUGCACUGGUAUCAGUUUCAUCAGAGAGUUGAUAUUCAGAUAUGGAUUUCCGCACAGCAGCAUCACUGACAAUGGGUCAAACUUCGAUUCUGACAAAUUCAGGGCCUUUUGCGCCUCUCAGGGCACACGAGUCGACUAUGCUUCGAUCGCUCACCCUCAGUCGAAUGGACAGGCAGAAAGAGCAAACGGCCUAAUUCUCAAAGGACUGAAACCUCGAUUGAUGCGCGAUCUCAAGCACGCAGCAGGUGCAUGGGUCGACGAGCUUCCAUCAGUUCUUUGGGGAUUGAGGAUGACCCCGAACCGAUCGACUGGAAGAACCCCAUUCUUUCUGGUCUACAGAGCCGAAGCAGUCUUGCUGAGUAACAUGCUUCACAACGCCCCUCGAGUCGAGCUCUACUCUGAAGAAGAAGCAGAACAAGCCCGGCAGGACGCAGUCGACCUCCUAGAAGAAGAAAGAGAAAUGGCCAUGAUCCGAUCGACCAUCUAUCAGCAAGACUUGCGUCGAUUCCAUGCCAGAAAUGUGAAGAGUCGAGCCUUCCAAGAAGGAGACUUAGUCCUCCGAGUGGAUCAGCAGAAACCACACAAACUCGCUCCUACUUGGGAAGGCCCCUUCAUAGUCACCAAAGUCCUCCACAACGGAGCAUAUCACCUCUAUAAUGUCAAUCGCCAGAUUGAUGAGCCACGAGCCUGGAAUGCGGAGCUUCUCCGCCCCUUUUAUACUUGAAUUCUCACUCGGAUGAGAUGUAAUAAGAAAAAACUCAUGUAGUUUAUUUAUCAAAGACAAGAGCGUUAUAAUUUUCUCAGCGAUUGUUAUUGUUUUUGUUUGCGUAAGAAAUCCCCCAGUGGGUGGCUUAGCUGCGAAUCUGCUUCGCCUAAGUUUGUAAAAAUAAUUUCCUACCGAGUGGUGAACCAGCCUCCCACUCAGGGGCUUAGCUGCGAACCCGUUUCGCCUAAGUAUUUAAAAAUCCUACCGAGUGGAGAGCAAUCCUCCCACUCGGAGGCUUAGCUGCAGUCCAGUACUCGCCUAAGUCUUCUCACUCGGAGACUUAGCUGCAGUCCGACACUCGCCUAAGUUUGAAAAAAUCCUACUGAGUGGAGAGCAAUCCUCCCACUCGGGGGCUUAGCUGCAGUCCAAUACUCGCCUAAGUUUUCUCACUCGAAGACUUACCUGCAGUCCGGCACUCGCCUAAAUUUGAAAAAAAUCCUGCNNNNNNNNNNNNNNNNNNNNNNNNNNNNNNNNNNNNNNNNNNNNNNNNNNNNNNNNNNNNNNNNNNNNNNNNNNNNNNNNNNNNNNNNNNNNNNNNNNNNNNNNNNNNNNNNNNNNNNNNNNNNNNNNNNNNNNNNNNNNNNNNNNNNNNNNNNNNNNNNNNNNNNNNNNNNNNNNNNNNNNNNNNNNNNNNNNNNNNNNNNNNNNNNNNNNNNNNNNNNNNNNNNNNNNNNNNNNNNNNNNNNNNNNNNNNNNNNNNNNNNNNNNNNNNNNNNNNNNNNNNNNNNNNNNNNNNNNNNNNNNNNNNNNNNNNNNNNNNNNNNNNNNNNNNNNNNNNNNNNNNNNNNNNNNNNNNNNNNNNNNNNNNNNNNNNNNNNNNNNNNNNNNNNNNNNNNNNNNNNNNNNNNNNNNNNNNNNNNNNNNNNNNNNNNNNNNNNNNNNNNNNNNNNNNNNNNNNNNNNNNNNNNNNNNNNNNNNNNNNNNNNNNNNNNNNNNNNNNNNNNNNNNNNNNNNNNNNNNNNNNNNNNNNNNNNNNNNNNNNNNNNNNNNNNNNNNNNNNNNNNNNNNNNNNNNNNNNNNNNNNNNNNNNNNNNNNNNNNNNNNNNNNNNNNNNNNNNNNNNNNNNNNNNNNNNNNNNNNNNNNNNNNNNNNNNNNNNNNNNNNNNNNNNNNNNNNNNNNNNNNNNNNNNNNNNNNNNNNNNNNNNNNNNNNNNNNNNNNNNNNNNNNNNNNNNNNNNNNNNNNNNGUACUCGCCUAAGUCUUCUCACUCGGAGACUUAGCUGCAGUCCGGCGCUCGCCUAAGUUUGAAAAAAUCCUACCUAGUGGAGAGCAAUCCUCCCACUCGGGGGCUUAGCUGCAGUCCAGUACUCGCCUAAGUUUUCUCACUCGGAGACUUAGCUGCAGUCAGGUACUCGCCUAAGUAUUUAAAAAAUCCCAUCGAGUGGAGAGCAAACCUCCCACUCGGGGGCUUAGCUGCAGUCCAGUACUCGCCUAAGUACGAAACACAUCUCAACCCACAAGGACGAUGAGGUGCAGGUCGACUGCCACCUUCUCCUGGAGAGCUUUGCCACAAAUACAAUGUGCGCUCCAUCCCGCUCUGGAGUAACGAGGUGCGGGUCGACUGCCACCUUCUCCUGGGGAGCUUCGCCACAAAUACAAUGUGCGCACCGUCCCGCUCUGCAGUAACUAGGUGCAGGUCGACUGCCACCUUCUUCUUCGGAGCUGCGCUACAAAUACAAAAGUUGUCUCGAAUAAAGAACGGGUUCACUCAGCAGGGGAUUCAUGAAGAUAUUCAACGAUAAACCAAGUUCAGAUAAAUCCUAAAGGUUCCGGACCACAGAUCGAAGUGCUCGGGCAUUCAGCCUGAAAGAGUUUAACGGUUACAAAAACCACUCGGCAUUCCGAGGCAAAUUCAAGGUGAGGCAUAAAAGUUUGUUCACUCCGCGGGAGGAGGACUAGCAGGCUCGACGAACUCGUCUAAGUCGACGCCGUCGGCGAUCUGAGUGGCUACAGUGAUGAAAGUCUCCAUAAAAGAUUGGAAUUCAUGCUUCUGGGUGUUGGCGACCUUGAUUGCUGCCAGCUUAUCUUGUCGCACCUCCUUGCAAUGGACGCGAACCAAAGACAGAGCCACAUCAGUGCCACACCUGGCAGAAGACUUCUUCCACUCCUGCACUCGGUCAGGGAUUUUGUGAAGUCAAGUCAUCAGGGACUCAAGAUCAUUUUGGAGCGUGGCCUCUGGCCAAAGUGCCGGGUCGAUCCGUGACAUGGCGACCUUCAGUCGAGCCAAGUAGUCCACGACACCGUCGAUGCGGGAUUCCAGUCGGAGCAGAUUCAUGGCAGUUUCAUCUUUCACGGGAGAAUUGAUUGGAUCCAAACCUGGUUCGAUCUACCCAGUCUCCUCCUCGAAGUCCUGGCAAAACUCUGCAUUCACGACCCAAGAAUAAGUCAAUUUUCAUACGCUGAGUCGACACAAAAAAAA